This 51974-nucleotide long non-coding RNA is filed under the name Coffea arabica (coffee). RNAcentral describes it as "long non-coding RNA (CARA_LNC002401)". Lineage: Eukaryota; Viridiplantae; Streptophyta; Magnoliopsida; Gentianales; Rubiaceae. The record is from RNAcentral.
GCUUUUUUUUUUUUUUUUUUGGGGUGUUUUACAACAAUUUUUUUAAUGGUUUUGGUUGGGAUUAGCCACUAGCCAGGAUAAUUACGCGAGCUUAGCACAAUUGUGUGAGUUUUGGCCUUCAUUUGGAGAUAAAUUUCCGAGCACUAGUUUAAAUUCUCAAAGAGAUUAGGAAAUAGAAACUAUGAUUUUGUUCAAGUGGAAGUUGGGAUAACCGUUUUAUGUUUUUGAUUAGGCAAAUGGUCCUUUUCAAUUUAGGUUCUAGAACACAAGACGAAAUCUGUGGCUAGUACAGGGUAAUUACGGUUUGCUUUGGAGCAUAUCAGCAGAUGAUCCAUUGUUUAUACUUGACCGAUGGUCGUUGGGAUGCAAAAGCCUAAACCGUUUCUUGUUUUGAGUUUUGACUGGUAGGUUUUGCUAUUGUGACCCAGAUAAACCAACUUAAUCAAUACUCAUAUAAAUAAAAAUUAUGAGUCAAUUGAUGAUGCUAGAUUAUUUGCAUUAGAAUUUCGAAAUUGGCUACAUCCCUAAGUCUCCUUGAUCGUAUGCUUCGUCCCUUAGGAACUGACGUAAGUGUCAAGUUUGGAAUACUAAUAUGCCAGGUAUUUCUAGAGAAUAGAGAGAGUUAAUGCUAAUCUGAUUAGAAGAAAUGUGGCAAAAAAAAGAAAAAAAAAAAAACCAACGAAUUGAAUUGAAGGAAGACAUGGGGUUUGUUUGGACAGUAGAUUAUUUGGUCAACUAUAUUUGCUGACGUCAUCAUUACAAUUUUCAAUACAGCUUUUUAUCUUUCUAAUUAUCUUUUUAUCUCACAUACAUCACAUCAGAAAAAAUGCUACUGUAAUUAUUCCAAAUAAUAUUUCAAAUAAUAUCCUAUCCAAACAAAUAUAAAUUCUAAAUGUUUGGAUAGGAGAUUAUUUGGGAUAAUUUUUUAAAGAAAAUACUGUAACACUUUUUUGAUGUGAUAUACGUGAGAUAAAAAGAUGAUUAAAAAAUAAGUUGAUGACACAAAUAAAUCAAUGGAUAUAAAUAAGGUGUCAAUAAAGUGCAAUCAAAAACACAGUAGUGUGUGUUUUUCCUUAUAUUCUAUUGAAUUCAAGUUUGUAGCUAUUAUUUAUUGUUUGAAACUGAAUGCCUGUACAUAGGGUAGGAAGAAGAAUAAAGCUAAUGCAGGAAUUUCAUACCUUCGGCUCAAAAAAAGGGAAAAAAAGAAGUAGGUUUUUCUUCACAAAAUCCUUCAUAAUUUUUUCUCAAAUUGUCGAAUUUAAAGAUUAAAUUCUUACUAAAAUAGCAAGAAGAAGGACAAUUUUGUUCAAAUUUAAAGAUUAGAUACUUUGCAAGCUUUAAAUCCUCCUUCUUCAGCCAAAGGAAAUAUAGAUGGAAAACGAAAAAAUAGAAUUAGGUAUGUGUUAGUUAAAUGGGUUUUAAAUGGAUAAUUAGAUAUCCAUCAUCCAUUUGGAUGCGGACAACCAUUUAUUAUAUAUUGCAUCAUUUAAUCCACGAUCUAUUUACAUAAAAUCAAUUAUCAUCCAUAUAUCAUUCAAUUAUUUGACAAAAAUAACCUCAAGAUGCUCAGUUAAUUGCUAAAAACCGGGCAGAACAUGGAUGGAUUUUAUGCAUGUAUGCUCUAAUAAUCCUCUUCUCUUAUGUAAUUAACAUAUUUAAAAAUCUCCCACAACAUUCAAUAAGAAUGGGGCAAAACCAAAAUAAAUGGUUAAUCAUAGAAGGGGCACUAAAGAGCAGACAGCAAGCAACAAAGCAUUAAAAAAAUGGUGGCUAGAUUAGAGGGACACACAGAGGUCUAGCAAACAAAAACCAUAGCCUUUGCAAGAACUCACCAAAAAACCAGUAGAGGUAUAAUAACGCCCACUGUUUAACUAUUUAUCAGGCCGUCUGCUCUUUUAAAACUCACAUUCAAAGCCUAAGUUCUUUCUGAACCAAACCAAAUCAUGGCAGCUAGGUUUGUACAUUUUUUGAAGAGAUCUCCUCAAACUAAAAGUUUUAUCGACAACAUCUCCUCAGUCAUAGUCAUUUUGUUAUGAGUGAAAUCUCAAUUGAGAAGAGAGCAAGCAAAAAUUUUGUUGCUCCAAGAUGGAGAGAGUCAGAUGUAUCAUGCAGUAGAUGAGGUCAUCAGCAAUAUAAAGGAGAUAAGCAAAGCCUAACGAUGGGUACUAGAGAUGAGAGAAGAAGGCUUUCGGGGCUGCCAAUGAAGGCUAGGAGCUAAAGAAUGUGGAGAAUGACUUUAGUAGUAGUAGUCUAAGUAACUUUAGCAUUAGUUCUGUAGUAAAAAGACAUAAAUUUUAAACCCAAAUAUAUAUAUAUAUAUAUAUAUAUAUCAGCCAUCCCACCACCCAAAAAAAAGUAUAGAAUCUUGAGACGUUUUUUGUUAAUAAAAAUGUCAUUUAGUAUUUCUAAAUCUUUUUUUAUCUUAGGAAAAUUGUAACAAUGUAGAUGUAGAAUUAAUUUAUGGAACUAGUUAGAAGUUAGAAGUAUGAAUUUUACAAAAUACAAUCAGUAGUAUGUUUUGAGGGUGUUUGACAUCUUACCUUUUGCCCAUGCUUCUUGUUAUUAGUGGUUAUGAAGCAAACCAAAACAAUAGUAGUAUAAGUAGUUUUUUUUUUUUUCUACUAGAGCCUUAUAUGUUUUGUUGUUAGCAUGCAGACUUUCUCUCUGAGAUACUAUUUGAUUUACCAGAACAAUUUUAUAGUUGGCAAUAGUACUAGAGAAUGGAAAAAAGUCUAUCCGAAUUUUCACCUGACUUUAUAAAUUUGCAUGAAGUUGCUCAUUGAGCAAUAUCAAAUUGGAAGUCACACUAAUUAGGUACAAAAUAGCGUAAAAAUUGAUAAGACUGUAAAUUUUUUGAAAGCUAAAUUGAAAUUUGGCAACCUUUUUGCUUUUUCCCCUACAAUUUAUAUCUAACUUUGAUUGGGAUCUUUUUCUUCCUUUCUAUAAGCUUACAACUAAUUACACCCAAGGGUGGGGUGGAGCCAGUGCGAACUGCUCCUGCUAUGGUAGUAUAUAUCAACAAAGGUCCUUCCCAGCUAAAACAUUGUUUUUCAAAGGGGCAAACAAACAAAAGUCCAAGAUAAAGCCUACGCAAUAAUAGGUUCAUUAGCUUCAAAACAACAAAGAGCAAGAAAGAACCAACACAUCGGCUUUGUGGGGGGUCUUCACCGCUUAGUAGCAGCGGGUCGAAUGGGCUUGGCCCCUGUCGGGGUUUCUAUCCCACAUCGGCUUUGGGGGGGUUGGGAUUUGGGUAGUUAAGUCCCUGGGAGCAAUCCAAGAAUUGCCGACUUUUGGAUUGACUUCUGGGAUUAGGUUUAAUUGUUCAAAUGUCGUUUCUCGAAAGAAAAAAGAACCAACACACCAAGCAAAGGCAGGAAAAAUGAAGAAAUAAAGCAACCAAGACCAAGAGGGCUAAAAAUGCUGGACUCAUUCUCUAAUAAGUACUAUACUACUACAAUAGUAUGGUAUAAACUGAAUAGUGAUUACCAUGGAGAUUAUUAAGCAGUUAAGAAUUACGUAUUUUUUAAUACCUAACAACUAUACUAAGCGCCUUUGUUACAUCCAAAAAAUUGGUAAAGUUAUUGUGGCCUGUAAAUGCACUAACAGUUUGGGCCCAAAGCAAAGCCUGCAGAUCUGGAUGGUUGCCUUGUUUCUAGCUCUUAUUUCAAUCCAGUUUGGAUAUCUUCCAUCGAUUAAUACUUGUUGGGCUUAAAAAUCUUUUCCAAUCGAUUCUAGAUUUAUUAGUUCCUUUAAUAGAUAUGGUGGGUUGUUAUCGGGGAUUAAUAAAUAGUAGUAGUAGAUAACUUUAUGGAUUAAUUAAAGAGAAGGUGCUCGUGCUGAACUAAAAGUCUAAAACCGGAGAAGUCUAAUUGAGCUCGACUUUUGGCCCUUUCUUAAUUGAGUUCACCUACCCUGAAGUCUUUGGAAAUCUCUACGCAAUAGAUAAAUACAUUUUUUUUAAAAAAAAAUCUCUCUAAGAUUAAUACAAAAUUUCUAUUCAAGCACAAGGAGCUUUUGACCAAAAUGUUCAAAUACAUACCUGACCUCACUUGAUUAUCUACUUUUUUUUUUUAAUCGAAAUCGAUAAAUAACCCACACACACACCCACCUAAUUUAAACAAACGCAGGAAUUAAUCGAAGAACAGCCCGAAAGCAAUUUAAGGGGAAUCCACAAAGAACCACUAUUCAGCCAAUUGGUAACUGAACAGGGUUCCUGUGGACCUUAAAUCCAGAGUAAAGACCCCACGAUCUUUCGAUGUGGGAUAGGAUGCCCUAGCCCCCGCGAACACUCUCACCAACUGAAUGGUUUGUUUGUUUUCUAUACUUGAUUAUCUACUUCAGUUAGCCUAAACUUGACUUCAAGAAUAAAAGCUUAUUAUAUUCGGUGAAUUAUUAAAGAUUUGACUCAUCCAUCCAAAUUCCAACUUCCAUUCGCUUGCAAAUUGCAAUGCAACCUUUUUAUAUGAUGAUAAACUAAUCUAAACCCUGUACAUGACAAACCAAUUUUUCAGGAAAACCACUGAAAAGAAAGGUCCUAUCAUUUUGCCUAUUUUGACCCUUUCAUGUUCUCCACUUCUCAUCCCACUACUCUCUUUUCUAUAUUUCCAAUGGAAUUGCUAAUAUGCAUGAAAUGAAUUGGCAAAGACAAGCCCAUCGGGGUUGACUCGUAAGGUGGUGUGUUCGAGUCGCCUCUCUUACCGUCUUGUAUAUCUUGGAAGCAGGGUGCACACGCGUAGAGAGAUUAAUCGAUAAAAAAAUCGAGAUAUUUUCUGUGUCGAAAAAAAAGUUGACAAAGACAAAAGCUAUGAUAAACUAAUCUAAACUUAUCAUUUUGCGCAUUGUACAUGAUCUUUAAGAAGUUUGUUACUACUUUUAAAUACUACUAGAUAGACUAGUAGGUCACUAGAACUGGAGUAAGAUCUUUACAUAAAUGUCAAAAAAAAUUGCAUUGGAAAAUUGGAAGAAAUACUAACGUACUAACUAGGGGUGUAAUCGAGCCGAGUCGAGCUCGAGUAUUGCUAUACUCGAGCUCGACUCGACUCAUAUACACCAAAGCUCGAGCUCGACUCGAGCUCGAGCGAGCCCAAAAAAUCGAUACUCGAGACUCGACUCGAAAAAUUUUCUUGACUCGAUACUCGAGGCUCGAAAAUUUUUUUCAUUUUAGGUCUUUUUACAAUUAUGUUAUUACUUUUUUGCCAUUAUAGGAUUUUAUUAUAAAGAAGGAUAUAUUGUAAAUUUCAUAUAACUUAUACCCAUAAUGGUCAUUUUAUAAUUAUAAUACAUAUAUAUUAUUUAAAUUAUAAAUAUAUUAUUUAAAUAACUCCGGCUCGUCGAGCUACUCGACUCGACUCGAGCUGGGCUAUUUCGACUCGAAACUCGACUCGAUUUUCAUUCGAGUUACUCGAAACUCGGCUCGAACUCGGUCAACCCGAGUUCGAGCCGAGUCGUUGACCGAGCUACUCGCGAGUAGCUCGGCUCGCGUACAUCCCUAGUACUAACCAACCGUGGCGUAGGCGUAGAGGAAAAAUCUUUCAAUACCACACGUUUAUUCAAGAACAAGAAUCAAGGGUUAUGUUACCUGUGUAAAGCGCGGACCUAUGUGGCCGCCCCUUGAAAAUUCGGCUUCAAAUCCUCUGUCCCUAAAGUAGUUUUUGUCCCCUCUAUCCCUUAUUUGUACAGUUGCCACCUGUCUCUAGGCUUUUGUUACUCAAGUUUACUCAAGUUAGCCUUUUGAUAAUAAUCGGUUGAUAAGUUUACUUAAAAUCAAUUAAAACAGAUAAUUCAAAACUUUUUUUUUUAUUUUCUUUUUAACAAAAAAGAGUCUUAUUGAUCAUAAACAUAGAAAUCAACUAAAACUUUUCUUUAUUUUGUUUGAGUUUGGGAUUAACAAAACUUGUAAAUCAAUUAUUAUCGGUUUAUUUGAGUUCGGAUUAACAAAAGGUUAGAAACACGUGGCAGCUGUACAAAUAAGGGACAUAGGGGACAGAGACUACUUUGGGGACAGAGAAUUUGAAACCUGAAAAUUCACCCAAAAAAAAAAGGGAAAAUCGUCCAAAACGUCUUUCACAUUUUGUAAAAUGAUUUUUUUUGUCCCUCACUUUUAAAAGUAUAAUUUUAUGUCCCUUACAUAUUCACAUCGGUCAAAUUUAGUCCCUAACUAGGUUUCCGAUCAUUUUUUGGCCGGAAUCUAUCACGUGCAAGGCACGUGAUCAUUUUUUAAGGGUAAAUUUGUCAAAUUAUAUUUUACAUAAUCUGAUCUAUAGUCCUCCACAUUUUAUAAAAUAAAUUUUUUCGUCCCUCAAAUUUUAUAAAAUGAUUUUUUUCAUCUCUCACAUUUCACAAAAUGAAUUUCUCCAUUCCUCACAUUUCAAAAAAUGAAUUUUUCAUUUCUCACUAAUUAUGUGUUUGAAUACAUUUUUUUUAAACAUAUGUAUAUAUCUAUUUAAUUUUACUUAAUAAUAAUAGCAUAAACACAUGUAUGUAAUUGGGCCCAACUUGUGGGCUAUCUUCUUUUUUUGUAUGAUUAUGACUAAUAUUUAUCAAUAGAACCUUAAUUUGCUUUUUCUUAUUGUAUUUUGACCGAAAAUAGCUUUAUUGGCCAAAUUGACAAUGAAUGCAAGAUUUUUUACUAGCUAAUACCAGAUGAAAUCAAAUGAUCACGUAUAAUAUAUGGUAUUCGUAUUGUUAAAUGAAAUCAAAUAGACACAUACAUAUAUUUAUGCUAUUCGUAUUAUUAAGCAAAAUCAAAUAGACAUAUACAUGUGUUUAAACAAAAUGUAUUCACACACAUUUUUUUUAAGGGUUUCCCUCACACACAUAAUUAGUGAGGGAUGGAGAAAUUCAUUUUAUGAAAUGUGAGAGACGAAAAAAUUAUUUUAUAAAAUGUGAGGGACGAAAAAAUUUGUUUUAUAAAAUGUGGAGGACUAUAGAUUAGAUUAUGUAAAAUAUAAUUUGACAAAUUUACCCUUCAAAAAUGAUCACGUGCCUUGCACGUGAUUGAAUCCGGCCAAAAAAUGAUCGAAAACCUAGUUAGGGACUAAAUUUGACCGAUGUGAAUAUGUAAGGGAUAUAAAAUUACACUUUUAAAAGUGAGGGAUGAAAAAAGUCAUUUUACUAAAUGUGGGGGACGUUUUGGACGAUUUUUCCAAAAAAAAAAAGACAAAAUAAAUACUAUUCCCUUCCCUUCCCUCCUCCCAUUGCCCGGGAAAAUCUUCGCUGCCCAAAAUCCCUAACCCUAGCUGAAAAUUUACUCCCGUUUCUCAAACCCUCAUUCAAUUUCCCGAUGGAAAUCUCUGUCAUCUCCGAUGCAUUAACGUCAGUGGCCUCAACCCAAGGUUUAAGCUUAGGGGUUUCAAAGCUCAACUUCUGUUCAAAUCAGUCUUCUGAACAAUCCGCCGGAAUUCUUCAAAUCUCCGCCAUGAUUUUUCCGCUCGAUGCUGUUGCACCACCGCCGGUGAAGUCGAAUCGGACAAGAACUUUACCGCGUAGACUGAUCAAGAAAAGGCGUCGUACCAGAAGAAGAUCUUCAACCGGUGAUGAUGAUAAUGAUGAUCGGGAAGAAGUUUUCGGGUUUUUUGGCGGCGACGGAGGAGUUUUUGAUGGGCCGUUUAAUAAUGGUGGCGGCGGCGGCGGCGGCGGCGGUAGUUGGAAUUUUGGUGGGUUUGGAGGGGCAAAUUGGGAAGGGUACUCAUCCAACUCGUAUAAUGAUCCAGCGUUCGAUUUUGUUUACGAGGUGUUGUCGUGGAUUGUUUUAUCGAAUUGUUUGCAUUUUGCGUUUAAGAAGGUUGUGAGGAUUGUGGCUGAUGUAUUUGGUGAUCCUGCUAGGGAGAAGGUCCCGAUGAGAUUGGAACCUGUUUGCUGAAUUGGUAAAAGAAAUUGACUCCCCGAAGCAAAGAUAAACUCUUUACUCUGAUACACAUAAUUUAGGAUUUGAUUAUAUGUUCUUCGGGAAAAAAAUUAUGUAAAUAAGUGGACAGUACAUUUAGGACUAUGCUUCUUAAGUUCGCAAUUGCAUUUACCUUUUUAUUGUUUAUCAGCGUAAAUAAUGUAAAUAUUCAUCGAUGGAUGUCUGACUGAUUUUGAAUUUGCUUUACUCUAUAUGAUUCUUCUAUCCACGGACUGAUAUAGUUGCGUUACAUGGAUUGCGUGUUGGUGAUACUUCUGUUAUACGUUCUGUGAUGAUUGUUGUGGAGAUGUGUUCCCCUUCCAUCAUACAAGUCUGUGAGCAAAGAUUUGAGUUGUCUUGACAAAUAAAUAAAAGUGUAAGCUGGAGAUUUUUUAUGCUACUUGACUUACAAUGCUGGAUAUGGUAAGGGUAGCACAAUCAAUUACUCCUAAAAUUUUUUUUGCUCUUGCAUUUUGAAGAUUUGCUUGGCCUUAAAGAUGUAUCUUUUUCUUUGUGAUUCUUGAUUAUCGUAGACUUUACAUCUCCCCUUCAAAAAUGAUUCCCCUCCCUAUAUCUGCCUUUCAAUGUGGUCUACGUAGUGUAUUCUGGGUCAUCUGGUGAAUGGCAAGAUCGAGUCUUUGAGCAUGGUAUGUUGCUGUAUUGUUGUUUGGGAGUUCAUAGGAUAGUUAUUACUUCCAUGUGAAAGUGUCUGAAGCCUGUGAUCACCUGUUUCAUUUCUGGUUUACCAACAACAAAUAUUUUGUAACUAAUGAGAGCCAAAGAGGCUGUAUUUCUUUCUGGUUUGAGGGGGCUAGAAAUGUUGUAACUAGUAAGAUUCAAAAGGAGCAUUUGGUGGUUUUAUCUUCUUCAGAAGUAAGAAACCAGUAAUUAGCUUGGCCCCUCUGGGUAGUCAAAUCUCCUAUUACUGCCAGAAAUUACGAACUUUCUUUUGAUGUCCCUGCCCUUAACUUGUUAUGUUUAAGAUCUUACGACAAUGAAGUUAGUGAAUAUCGAUCAUAUGCCUUGUGAAGUGCUAUAUUUACAUUAUCUUGCAAAGGAACAUCCAAUGGUCUCUCUUUUACUGACUUAGAGGCCUUGAAUACCCUAAUAAUUGGGAUUUGUCUAGGGCAAAUUUCAGGUUCUUUAUUUUAUUUGAAGUCAGGCUGAUUGAUAGAAGCAUGAGUGCCUUUCUUUUGGGGGUUUUGUUCACGGCCUCUGAACCAAUUUAGUAUGAUUGCAAUUUUUUUUCUUCUUUUGGUGCUUGUCCUUGCAUUGACUGUUGAGUCAACUGGCUACCUCCUCGUGUAAUUUCUCUAGCACAAUCGCUGUUGCAAUUUUUUGUAGUUUCUUUAGUACUAUUUUACUAUUAAAAUUAAGACUAACAGAAGGUUUGGAGGCAUGUGCCUCAAAGACUGUUUGUUCCCCAGCAGGUUGGCUGGUAAAUUCUUGACAUGCCGCUCUCAUGCAAUGGACCUAACUUAUGUACGACUUCAUAUCACACUUUUCUACUUUCUACGCCUUUUAUCUUUUACAUAGGAGAGAAGUAUCAGAUGAUGAUGGGGGAACUAGGCAGCAAACUGUCAAGGAACAAAGAUGGCAGUUUGAAAAAGCCCCACGCAUAUGUCCCAUUAAGAUUUGAAGUGACACAAUCAGCACUUGGUUCAUGCAUCUUCUUAGUCACUUUCGAUCGACUGAUUAUUCCUAGUAAUUACAAUUACACAUAAAACACUUGAUAAAUUAUUUUUAAUACCCCGAGUCUCUAUCUGCCGACGUACGGCUGUCUGUCUGUGGUUUAUUCUUUUUUCUUCUUCUUGGAUAUCGAUCUUUCUCACUACUUUGUGUCUCUUCUAUCUCCUGUUCCAGUAAUAUUCGAUUUUGAACUGCUAGAUGUGGCAGUAAACAUCAUGGCAUUGUUCAUCUGUUUCGUAGAAAAGGGGAAAAGAUGUUACCGGAAAUGUGCAGAAAAUUUCAAAGAGUGCCCAAAUAGUUGUUGGUCCCAUUCAGCGUUUACUCCUCCUUUCCGGAGCAUUUUCCUGGGUAACUUCCCAAGUACCUUGUAGGUGAUACGGCUGCUCUAUACAUAAUAAUAGCUCUACCCUUUAAUACCCGAACAUAAAAGUCCUGUGCAUUAAUUUCCAAAAUAAACAGGCAUAGGAUGGCCUUAUGCAUGAAAAUUCUUCUUCAAAUUGCGUAAGAUGGAAUUUCAAGAAUGCAGAUGAUUAUCCAGCUGAAAACAAACUCUGUCGUACUUUAAUUUGAUCGCCGAAGUAUUUUGCGAUUUUUUUCUGUUAAAAUCAAGUAGUAAAUUGCACUAACUUGUGUGAUAUAAACUGAAAAGUGAAAUUCCAAAAGUUUAAGGACAUUUUUGUCCCCAGCACACCACCCUAGGUAACUUGCCAAACAAUUUGUCUUUUUACGAGAAAAGACCAUUCCAAACUGGUAUCAAGCACCUUUUGUUUUCGAAACAAACGAGUAAACAUGAAAACCCAUUCGGGACUCCUAUCAAAUUAGCGAUCGAUGCACGCUUGAUGCGUGUGUAAUGAAUGUAGAAUCCUUCGUUUGAGAUAACGAAUGUAGAAUCCUUCAUUUGACAACAAAAUUUAAAAGUAGUAAAUUUAAAAAGUUAUUGCAACAAAAUAUGAUAACAAUCAAACAAAAAAAUUAAAAGAAGCAAUCACAUGCAGUGAUUGAUUAAUGAAUCUUUUAAGAAGUGGAAAUUUUUGUUCUAAAUGUACUCUUAUAUUGAGAUGGAACUCCACAAUCAUCUAGAGGAUAGUAUUGUAUUCAACAAUUGAAAAGCAUCAAAAUCUUAUGGCAAGAGAUAGAAAAAAAAAGUUCCGUACAAAGGAGAUGGAGAAGAAGUUAUUUAUGUGAUUUUGAUUUGUAGUUCGGUGGUGGGGGUAUUUCAUCGUGUGAUGUUAGUGGUUCGUUAGAGUGGGAUUAGUGAUGAUGAGUAGCUAUUUUCUUGAUAAAGGUAAUACGUACGUAAGAGAGAGGCGAGUUGAGUUGAGUUGGAUAAUAAAGAAAGAGAGAUUUUUAGUAAAAGAUUCUGAAUCCAAAAUCUCUCACUUAAAAAAAUAAAAAGAGAAUAAAUACAUGUCACAAGACUAAUCUAAUUUUCAAAUGGUUCAAAUCAACUCUGUAUUUCAAUGUAGGCUCCGUAUGUCUUGACUUGGAGGUGGUUCAGUAUUUUCCGAGUCUUCAAUAACAACGUAGUUGGGUCUAUGUUUUCUUCUUAUUAUAGGAAUAGUCGUAAGCAAAUAUUAUUGUUUGUCAAAAAAAGAAAAAAAAAACAGAGAAAACACCUGUAUGUGCAACGUUUUCCCGUCAUAGAAUGUAGAAUAGUCAAUGUUCUAAAUGCACGGACUACCGAAUCCAGCCACAGUAAAAGUUAGUGUGCACUAUACAGUUGACCCCUUAAUUAUUGAGGUCUGAAUCCUUCUCUCUACCAGAAGAAAGGGUUCACGAGACAAUCUAAGAUUUGACGUUUCUUGGGUGUUUUUUGUUCUCUUGUCUCCGUAGCAUUUGCGAAAUUUGGUUGAAAGAUUUGAAGACGUGCAGGCUGCAGCUUAGAAAGGAGACAUUUUGGCCAUUAUCCGACGUGAAAAAACAAUGCAGACAAAAAUCACAUUUGUAUUGAUCCGCUCGGUGCUCUUUUCAGCGUUUCCCCUUGACAAAUGACUCACUGAAUUUGCGUGUAAAGGGGUUCCAGUCUUACAAUUUUAGAAGGGAUUCCAAUCACAAAGGUGCCCCAUAAGUAAGGAUUAUUUAGGUAGAAGUCCUUUCUUUAUACAGUCAUCACUACACUAAUACGUAUGACUUAAGUACAUGUGAACUCCACUACUAAUUACGCAGGUCAAUUGGAGCAAACAUUAGUUAAGAAAUGAGGCCCAAUGGGUGAUUCAAGAAAUCAGUAGUAUUACUACUAAUCCGUUUUAACUCCUAAUUUGGUAGGCGUCAACCAAGCACAAGUAGUGGUGUAUUAAUUGUAGUAAACGGGUUGAUAUUAAGGGUCUGUUUGGUUGGAAGUAAAAUGUUUUUCUUGGGAAAAUAUUUUCCGUGGAAGUAAUUUUCCAUGAAAAUCAUUUUCCUUUCAUCAUUUUCAGGUGUUUGGUUAGUUUAUUGAAAAUAUUUUCUUACUCAUUUUUCUGGUGCUUGUUUAACUUUUGAAAUAUUUUCACUUUUAUCUCUAUCUUUACUUUCUACACAUUAUAACUACAUACUUCUUCCCAUGCAAAAUAAGAAAAUUUAUCUCAUUGUUUAACUUUAAAAAAUCUUGGAGAAAUGUAUAUAUGAAUAAAAAAUAUCUCCUUAAGCAAUAAACAAAUUGCUGGCCAUUUAGUGUCAAAUAUCAAUCACAUGCAAUGCUUAUUGUGACAUAUAUCUUGCACUCUCACUGCUGAAAGUUUCUCUAGAAAAGAAUGUCCCUAUUAUACAUAAUUAAUUACUAGCAUAUGAUGAGCAGGAUGAGAUUUUUUUUUUAUUUUGAAUAUACUAGGGGGAGGGUUGGGUGGUACGGGGGAGGGAGUGUAAGGAAGAGGUCUUGGGUUCGAGUCCUCCUGUUUACACUAAAAAAAAAAAAAGAACAUACUACAAGAUGUUUUCAGUAAGUUUGGAACAUACUACAGGCGGGAUGCAUGCAUUUUGGAAAACAACUUCAGUAAGUUUGGAAGGGAAGUUGUUUUCCAUAAGAUGAGUGAAAAUAUUUUACAUAGGAAAAUGUUUUCAGUAACUUUUGUGCAACCAAACACGGGAAAUUAGGAAAAUAUUUUCCUGGAAAACAUUUUCACCCGAAACAAACGGACCCUAAAAGGGAAUUCUUUCCUCAAAUAGUGACCUCAUCAUCCUCUGUGCCCCCCACUGGCAACAGCAGAAAUAAAUGAAUACUCGACGCCGUAGAAUAAAUUACUCCCUCCGUCCCAUUUUAUUAGUUUUGUUUUUUUUUUUUGUCUGUCCCAAAUUGUAAUCCACUUUCCCAUUAAGGAAUGUAGUAAUCUUUCAAAUUGUCUAAAAUACCCUUAUUAAAUAUCUUGUUAUUAAUACAUUGUUAUUAAAUACUAACCCACUACAUUGAAUACGUUGAGUUUUUCCAAUACAUAGAUAAAUGAAAAGUCUAUCUUUGUUAUUUAUUGGCACUGCUGGCGGUAAUUGAAACAAUCAGGGUGCACUAUUGGCGGUAACUGAUAUUUAUUGGCACCAUUAGCUGUAACGGAUAUUAAUUGGCACUCUUCGUGAUUAGCAUAAGGGUAUUUUAGGAAAUUAUUAAUCUAAAUUUAUGUUUCCAACCAAAUUAAUUACACUUUCUUAAUCAGUGUGAAAAAAAAAUCAAGACUAACAAAACGGGACGGAGGGAAUAUGUAAGAGCUGAGAGUGCUUAAUUACGAAAAGGUGUCUUGAUUGGAUGAAUGGAACAGCAUCAUUACCAAUCAGACAUUAUUAAUUAGCCAAAUGCAGAAUACGACACAAAUUUUUUGCAAUGAAGUAUUUCUUCUAAUCAUACCGUGAUAGUAACGUAGUAAUACUACCCUUGCUGGCUAAUUAAUUGAUGCCAAAGCAUUAUUAUUAUUAUUAUUAUUAUAGUGUACCAUGAUAUUGACACCAUCCACAGAAUGCAGUAAAAAUUAUCCCACAUCAGGCAGUAAAAGUCUGAAAGUACACGCAAAAGACAAAACAGGAGAGAAAAACACGCAGUUUCUAAUCUAGAUAGUCUAUGGUAAAAUUUCACUUAAUACAGCAGAUUAUUAGGCUGCUGGGCUGUAGCAACAAGAUCGUCCAUCAUCCAGAGAUCAACCGGGUCCGAUUCAGUGAUCCCACCAAACUGAGAUGUUGCUGUGGUGGUCGUCUCAGGUUCUAAGCCCAGGAAAGAUUCCAAGCUGGAAAAUUGAUCCCCAUACUGAUAAUCUUGAUCAGUCACUUGGGACGGAUAGUAAGGCUGGGGUUGGAAGCCAGGGUCCACUACUGGCGGGGUUGGUCCAAUUGACUCCAAGAUCUCCUGAUCAGGCUGAGGAUAAUAAGCCGGCGGUGGCUCAGGGGUGACACAACGCCGCUUGGCCAGUGGCUGCCGAGGUGGUGUCGGCUGUGAUGGGGUGGUUGGUGGCGGCUGAUCAUCAGCAACAAAGUUGAGUUUAGCCUUGUCGCCCCGGAUGCGCUUGGCUGCCUUGUCAUAAGCCCUGGCUGCUUCUUCAGCUGUGUUGAAUGUGCCGAGCCAAACUCUAACGCCCUUUUGUGGAUCGCGAAUCUCAGCUGCCCAUUUUCCCCAUGGCCUCUGUCUGAUCCCUCUGUACUUGUUCUUCCUAGGCUUCUGACUGAUCUUCUCAGACUUCUGAUUACCUGCUCCUACACUUCCAAAAAAAUCACUUCUUCUUGCUAAUACUACAUCAAUAAUCAUUCAAGUUAGACACCAUUAAUUCUUCAUUCCUGCUAGACACCAUUAAUCCCCAACCCUUUAUUUAUUUAUUUAUUUUUAGAGGGGGGAGGGGGAUUGGGGUGGUUGUUGUGUUGUAGCAUGAAAAAUUGAUCUACUAUGUACACGUACAUAUGUCAAUCUCAGAAUUACCUAUGCAUAAUACAUACAUGCAGCUACACCGUAUCAAAAUAUAUAGGUGGAUAUAAUAUAGUAAUACUUUGUACGUAUGGAUUUGUGAAAACCCUGAUGGAGUUGUUACGGUAAAGAAAUACUUAUUAGUAAAUAUGUUUAGAGCCAUCCUAAAUAGUAAAUACGCAGUCCCUAAGAAAGUAGAUAAUAAUAUAAUUGGAAACUAAAAGCCUAUUAUAUGUAAGCUUGCUGAAGUAUGCAUACAUACAUAUCAAAAUAUAGGAGCGUCCAAGUAUGCAGUAGAUGUAUUUACAUGUACGUAUGAAUCAUCAACAUAAAUCAUUUUCUGAGCGCGCAAUUAAUUAGGUCGUCAUACAACUAUUAUACUUUAUUAUUGGAGUAUUAUUAUUAUUUUUUUGGUAAUUUAUCCAAAAAUGGCAAAAAAGUACAUAAAGGUAGCAAGUGGUAGUAAUAAACCAAGAUGAAUGAUAGUAUCAGCAGAAAAUUCAAAGAUAUGUAAGCUAGUGGCAGUAGAUUGUGUUCAGGUAAUGGGGGGUGAGUGGACCGACCUUUCUUUGGGUGCUUGUUCUUGUCAGUGGCCUUGGUAUCUGCAGCCUGGCCAGAAGGGUCGAAGCCCCAGAAGGGAGAGAUGGUGUCAAACUCAGCCCACAGUUCUUUUGGGGUUAACUUCCGGCCGGGGUUGAUCGGAGACCCCCCGGAAAUGAUUGCACCUCCACACAUCUUUCUUUUUUUUUGUUGGUUGUUCUUGUUGUCUGGCAGAAGAAGAUGGUAGGAAAAAAGUUUUCAGAGAAAACUGAAGAGGAGGAGGAAAUGAAAUGAAAAAGGAGGAAUAAAUAGAGCAGAGAGAGAGAGAGAGAGAGAGAAGGAGAAGCGUUACGUAUUGAGGGUCUUAGUGUUGUGUUUUGUUACGUGAUUUUACGAAAGAGGGGACGGUUACGAAUCAAUAAUCAAAGGGAAAAUGACAAGUGAGGAGAGCUGAACCCAGACUUUGUUUUUAUUCGGAUUGUAUAUUUUAUUUAUAUACAUAUAUGGGAUCAAACGGUGGAGAGAGGGCCCAUCCAUUUGAUGUUGAUGAUGUGAUGUAACGUAACGGGGAAAUUUUCUUUUAUUUUUUUUUGUGGGUCCAGAUGAGAUGAGAUGUGUGAUGAAAUUAUGCACAUCAAAUCAGUAUUGAGAUUUUUGCAAGUUGGCAAGGAAAUUUGGGUAAAUUUGAGCUACCGUAUUUCGGUGCUCAAAACUCUGAUUUUCAUUCCGCUUACUUUAUUUUAAAUCUUGUUUAUAACUCUAAUUGAGUUCCAAAUUUCAAAGGCUGGUUCGCAAUGGGUGCGGUUUCUGCAAUUGGGCUAUUUUAAAAGAUAUACUGACAAAAUAAAUAAAUGUAAAUAUUAAUGCAUUAUAGCAUGUAAAAAAAAAAACAACAACUUUAGAAUUAUUUUGUUACAAUUAAUUUCAUCUUUCAAAUUUAUAUUGAGCACAUCUGGGUUAUUUUUUUUUUCAGACAAAAAACACAUCUGGAUUAUUAAUUGCAAUUGCUUUGCCUAUCGCAUAGAACCCAUCCUUGCAAGAGGGUGUGGGAUGUUGGUCCCAACCCUCCUUCCCGAUUUGGAUACGUCAAAUUAUGAGAGGUCUUUUUUAACAAUAAAAUUAGGAGAUUUUUUUCUGAAAUAAUAAAAAUGUGAUAUUAAAUGAGUUGAUUCCUGGUACAUAGUACUAAUACUAGUUUAUUUUCUUUGGAUUUUAGACCAUAUGAAAGAAAGCAUUGCCACUAUAAUAUAAAUAAUAAUCACAUCAGAAAAUUCUGCCCCCCAAAAAAAGGCAUUAAAAGAAAGAUGACAAUCGAAGAUUAUAUCCCAAAAAAGGAAAAAAAGAGUAGAGAUAUGUGUUUGGAUAGAGUGUUAUUUGAAAUAUUAUUUGGAAUAAUUACUGUAGCACUUUUUGUGAUGUGAUGUACGUGAGAUAAAAAGAUGAUUGAAAAUAUAAAAAAGUGAAUUGGAAAAUGUGUUUAUGAUACAAGCGAAAUAUUAUUUGGUAUAAUAUGAAUAUCCAAACAAACUCUCGAGUCGAAUAAUGUCGAAUAAUAUUGGAUAUCCAAAUCAAUAAUGUCGACAUAGUGGCACCAACCUAAAAGCCACACGCAGUCGAAGGCCCCAAAAAACUUGCUUUUGGGCUGACCCAUCUCGUUUUCCACAAAUAUUUUCUUGACACAUUUCUUAAUUACUUCACAUGCAUCACGGUAUAUUUUUUUUCCUCAAAAAACUUACAAUCCAAACGGGUUAUCAUCUAAUAAGCAUUAAUUAAAGUUUAAAUGGAUUUAGGAGACAAAUAAUGAAGUAUAUUAUGAUUUGUCCAUCAAUAAUUCCGUUUCUUUCUUGUCAAAAAAAAAUAAAAAUGCAUUAGUAGAACUCAGAAAACAGAUCAACAAGGCGCAUUUCUCUUAUCCCACCAAGGGCAAGGGCUAGUUUACUUCGGGAAAUAUAAUAAUAUGACAUCAACUGCAUGUAGCAGUGCCGCAAAAGGGCAAACUUCACGAGGCACAGCGCAUCAGACUAAAUGGCUUUUAGGGAGCGGGGGUUAGACUGCUGAGACUUGUCUCGAACAGAAAGAAACGCUUCUUUUGUUAUUGCCUCCCAACAUUUUCUAUGCCUUCUUCUGAAGAAACAGCCCAAAAGUUCCACAUCAUCCGUGGGAAACCGUUCCUUAAGAGGAGGCCAAGGUUAUGUCAUUCACAACCCUACAAGCUUCCAAUGCAAUAAUCUUCCCAAACAAAACAUAUGAUAUGAUAAUACCCAACAACUAUCACUCCAAUAAUUUCGUUGAUCUCUGAUUGCAUCUGGGGUCUGGCAAACUUAGCAUAAGCAGAAGACAAGAAUACGUUGUCGUGCCAUGCUCCAUAGGCAAAGCCCUGGGAGUUUUGAGGGGAAACUUAAGACCUGAUCCCUUGCUCACAAGUCACAAUAACACAACACUGUGAGGAUCUUAUACCAUCAAUUUACUCGGUCACCGUGGAAUUUAGUACUCACCCUUUCGUAUAAAACCUACAUGAAGAUAUCAAUGAAUGUAUAGCAUAAAUUUUCCAUGAAACAAUAUAAUAUUUUGUUCCUCAUUCAUCAUCUCAGCCUCAAUCUAAUGAAACAUGUGUGUUAUACAUGACUAUAAAAUAUCACCUAUAAUGGGUGUAGACCCAAUCAACCAAACAAAAGCAAUCUUUUAGCAGACUAACAUAUAUAAUCUCUCCAACAAAUCGCAUUAAGUGGGAAAUUAUCAAAUGUAAAGCGCAGUUGUACACCAAAGGCCACAGAGACAACAUCUGCAAGCUCGUCUAGUCAGCCAUUUUGGUUAACCGAUGAAUGGUACUUCUUGCAACCCUAUUACCAGGAUCAAUUCUCAUAACACUUCUGAGGUCUUCAGCUCCAAGCUUGUACUUCUCCAUACUCUCGUACAAAAGAGCACGUUGCACCAAGAUGUUCACAUUUUUGUCAUCUUGUUCUAGCGCCUGCACAAUCCAAUGGCCAAAAAGUCUCUUACUUGGAGUGAACCGCAAAAACUCCUCAGCACGAUAUUAAAAGAUCAAACAAGAACCAGCAUAUUUAUUCACCAGCCCCAAUUAAUAUUCAAAAAAAAAAAAACGAAAAAGAACAAACAGAAAGAUGCAUCAGUGUCCCGUGGAUUUUCAUUACCUUCCUGCAGAUGCUCCCAGAAAACACCACCUACAUUUUUGUCAGCAUAAACCAGGGGAAGAAGGAAUAGUAUCUUAAAUUACAGGUUUUCUCUAAGUGGCUAUGCCAACUGCAUACUAUUUCCAUAAACUGCAAAUACAGAUCUCGUGAAGGGACAUCAACUUAUACAGGAAGCACAAAGUGUAGAAAGAAAGGUUCAACAAAACUUUGACCUGGUCUGAAGCCUAUACCUAAGUAGCUUGCUCGUACAUCCCCUCCCCCCGCCCCCAAAAAAACCAAAGAAAAAAAACCCCGAAAAUCCCCAACAAAAGGUAUCAUGCAUAGAUGUAAACAGAAUGGAUCCACGCGGCUAGUUAGGCAAGGUGAUCUCAAUAGCAACAAUAAUAAUUAAUAAAUACAAAGGAAAGGGGCCUUAAAUAGUUUCCAUUUCAAUAAUGUGAGACACAAGGGUGUUAUAAUAGCAGUAUCGUUUUCCAAAGGCUCUCAAUGCCCCGUUCAAGCCCUUGACCAACCUCUAAACUGUUCACUAAAAGGUCUUGACUGUAGUUUGAUCCAUGCUGAUCAAGUAUGAAACUUUAAAUUUAGUCAUGGAAAGACCGACUAAAACUUCCUAGAAAAAUACCUGACAAGUCUCUUUAUAAAACAGUUUUCAUACUGUAGCAACUUGGGACUAAAUAUACAAUUCUUGAUCCAAUUAACUAGUCCUCCAAUAUAUCGGGGAGCUAGUCUAUGAAAGAGGGAUGGUUCAACUCUAACUUGCACAAGUAGUUUCUUUAGCAGUUGAAGUGCCAUGCCAACAUUUAAGUAUGUCACAGAAACAAGAGCUGCUACCCCUAUACUCACAUAAAAUAAAAAUUCUUGAAGUUAUCUGCCAGAUAAAACGCAAAAUUCACCAGUUACUUGACGAAGUUCAGUGCUCAGACUAGCUAUAUUUUGGGAAGGUGCAAUUACAGGGCUAGUUAUUUUGGCACAGCAAUUCAACCUGGAAAAGCACCGAAAAUCAUGAAAAAAUGAUUUUGAAGAAAAAUAAUAUACCUUUGUGCAAUCAGCUACAGCUUUCUUAUAUUCACCAACUUCUUUGUAACAUGCAGCUCUGCAUGUCAAGACGUCCAUGAUGCCAGUAUCAUCUCCAGCUUUCUCCAAAAGAACGACGGUCCAAGACAACCAUUUUAUGGCGUCAGCAAACUGGCCCUGCUUGUAAUUGUCUAAUCCCUUAUUUUUCGCAGUUGAAGCACUAACACCAGCAGGUGGGGGUGGAAGUCCUUCAAGUUCGGUUGUCCCACCUGUGUCAUGGCCAUUGAAGUCCGAUUCGAAUCCCCAGUCAUCGCGCCCAGAAGAAUCCUGGCUUUUAAAUUCAGCACCGCUGCCUGGAGUUGUCGUAAACAAUGCAUCAAAACUAUCAACACCAGUGGACUGACCAGAUGGUCGACUAUGAGGCUGACUACUAGGGAACCCAAAAUCAUCAAUAUUCGAAAAAGAACCUCCUGCACCUGGCCCAGCAGUAUUAUGGUUCCCCGAAGGAAAACUACUUGGCUGACUCUGGGACGGAGUACUAAAGAACCCAAAAUCGUCAACAUUCGAAUAAGAACCUCCUGCACCUGAUCCUGUCGAGUUGUUGUUUCCUGAGGUAAAACUACCUGAAGGAUGUGCAACUCCACUUGUUUUUGAAGCACUCUGAAAACUUUGAAAUGCAUCAUCUCCAACUUUACUACUAGCACUUCCUUUACUCUCUGACUUCAUAUUACCACUCGGUUUAGACGAAAAAUCAACUAAGGAACCAAACGGGUCCUUAUUUGAACCCAUCCCACCCAAUCCUCCACCUCCAGCCAUACUCUUCAUAGAAGGACCACCAAGAUUUGUUCCUUUACUAGCAUUCCCAUUCAAGUUAACAUUCCCUCUACCGCUGUUGUUACUGCUAAAUCCACUCGUAUAAGUCCCGAAAGUUUCACUAGACCCCCAAUUUCCGCUACUUUUUGUUGAAUUACCCGUUUUGGGCAAUGAAUCCGCCAUACCCCCCAUUGAAAAUGAGCUCUUAUUCGACGCCGGAGCUGCAUUUUUCAAAGGCACAUUACUAUUGCCCUUGUUCUGACCCAAUGCCGAGCCAAGCAAAUCACCAAACAAGUUGGGAUCUUUGUUAACAACUCCAAUCCCAGAAUUCAAACUGCUAGCUGGGGCAGAUGAACCCCAACUCUUCCCAGAAAUAUCCCCCACCAUCGAAGUGGGACCCGAUAGAGAUCCCGUCCGAGUUGAUUGAGCCGGAGCAGCAGGUUGGUGGGUCCAUGAGGGUUUGUUAAUAGGCUGGUGAGUCCAGGACGGCGUCGUACUGGGCUUUGCCUGAGCUGAUGAAUAUGAACCAUAUGAAGAAGACUGGUUCUUUUGAUCGCUAAGAGAUCGAGAACCCGACUUUCCAAGACCCAAAUCGAACUCGAAACUAUUUAAGGAUCCCGAUUUGCUAUUGGAUUUUCCGUAGUUUGAAUUCAUUUUCCUCCUCUAGAUGUGAAUUAUGUUUAGGAAGUUUGGGCUAAUCAAAUCAAAGCCAGAUAAAAAAACGAAAACUAAACGUAGAUGAUCCGAAAAUAUAGAUCAAACAACGAACUACUAAAAGAAAGGAAGAAAGAAAGAAAGAAAGAAAGAAGGGAUCUCGGAUGGGUUCAGUAUAUACCUGAUGGAGUUAAAAUUGGAAUUGAAACUGAAAUUUGCAGAGAGGUUAAAGAAAAGCUUGGACCGCGUAAGGCUGAAAGGAGCUCAGAGCCACCGCUGGAGAGAAACCAAGUCGGAGGGAAUAAGAAGUGCGACGGGACCGCGAGUUGGAGCAGGAGCUGGCUAAUUAACAUAUAUAGCUAAAUGUGUGAAUGCCAUUCUCUUCAAUUGAGUUGAAUUGCUGACGUGGCACAUUUUUAUUGGUCUAUUGGUGGUAGUCCUCCGAUUGAUUGAGCUAAUGAAUUGAAUUGAGGACAAAAUCGAGAUUUCACGCCUUAAUGAAUAGGUAGGGUUCCGAGAGUCUUCGCUUGCGCCGCUCAUUGUGUUUCUUGCUUCUGCUCCGUUUCUUUCUUCCUUUCUUCUCCCGUUCUUUCUUCCUUUCUCCUUUCUUUGUUUUUCACUUCUUCUCUUUCUUCUUUAAUUGAACAUUAAAUAACAGUGCAAGACAAAACAAAGGUCACAUGUUGGUCUUCUUCCAGAGCUUCUCUCCCCUUCCAUUUUUCUUUCCUUUCUUUGGCAAGAAAAUAAGAUUCGGGAUUUUCUCUCCCAGAGAUGUCAAAAUGUUUUUCCUCCUCUUAUUUUCUCUUCAUCUCUCCAGUUUUUUUCUGCACCGCCAUCUACCCAAAUCGUUCUUCCUCUCAUCAGCUGAAUCAUGUGUACGCUGGAUCAUCCACCAUUAUAAAAGCAAAAAAAAAAAAAUAUGGAGAUCGUUUUCCCUUUUAAACUUUCUUCAUCUCCUUCUAAAAAAUUGUCAUCUUUAUCGGUGAUUUUUGUGGGUUUUUUUUCCUAAUACUUGAUUGUACUUUCUAUGGUGUUGUAGGUGGAAAGGUUGAAUAUUUACAUUGACUCCAGAUUCAAGGUAAGUGUCUUCCAUGACUUUUCCUUAUCUUUAAAACCCUCAAUUCUUUUUCUCAUAUGCCUUUACUCUCAUCUCUAAGGUUUUUUUUCCUGUUUUUUCGUAUUGCUUUAAGAAGGAAUAAUUUGACUUCCCCGUAAUAUAUUGUGCUCUUUUUUAUGUUUUGGUGAAACAAUUUUUUUUUGUUUUCGUUUUGGGUUUUUUGCUGUUGCUGUAAUUUAGGGAUUUUUUUUUAUGGAGAGCAAUGAAGGAGGGGAUGAUAAUGUUCUGGAUGGUUUCGCAAGUCAAAAAAGGUUUGCUUUUUUUCAUACCCUUUUAUAAAUAAUCAAGAACAUUCCCUAUUAAUCCUUUGGCAAAAUGUUGUGAAAUAUCAAAUAUUUCAAUCCAAAAAAGUACAAUUAUAAUGUUAAUAUGAUUAGCAAUCCUGUAAACUCUACUGUCCCUAUAGCUUCUGAGGUCUUCAAGAAAGCAGGGACUUAUGAUGACAAAAAGUUUUUUGGCGUCACUAUACUCGAUGUUGUCAGGGCGAAGACAUUCUAUGCUGGGAAGGCCGAAGUCAAUGUUGCAGGUAUAUCUGCUAGGCCUUGGAUUAUAGUGUGGUGUAUGUAAAAGUGUCUUACUCGUUCUUUGUCGUGUUUUGGUUUUGGGAAGUAGUCUAUUCUGGCCUUAACUUACCUUUUAAUGCUUGCUCCUUUCCUCCAGAGGUUAACGUACCUGUUGUUGGAUAGAAAAGUACUCCAGUUCUUUUGUUUGGUUUGAAAAAUGAGGUAGUGUAUUUUUUGGGUGAUACAACAAGUUUUCUGAAGCAAAACUUAUCACUUGAGAUAUGAUAAGUGAAUGGGUGAGAAAGUUCAAGUUUUGAUGUUAGAAAUCACAUUGGAAAUGGUGAUGCAUUUGACCAUAAACCUUUUACGAAUAAGAAAUUUUUUUGCUGUCACUGGACUAGAAUACACCUACUUUUACACUUUUUUCCUUCAUUCCCCCAAUUUCUUUGUCUCCUAUGUUUCAGAAUUUUUUAUCUGAUUGUUUUCUUUUAACCCAAAAAAGUAGAAAUAGGCUUUUGUGUGUGCCUAUAGGGGUUUAAAAAGUAAAUGCACUUUUAGAGUUAAUAAAAAUGAAUGGUGCUUGUUAAAUUGGUUGCUUCAGAAUAUGACGAAAUUGGGAGGGGCAUUGCAAGAGUUAAUUCAGUUUGAAGGCAUUCUCCUGUUAAGAUUUUGGGUACUCGUAUAUUUACCAUACUGCCUAUCUUUACUGCCUUGAAAUUUAGCGGGGUUCUAUCUAUCUCUAUUGAUUGCAGUUAUUAUUUCUUAGCAGUUGAAAUGUCUUAAAUUUAGUGGAUAGAGCAGCUGAUGUUCUAUGUUCAAAUUUCCCAACUCUUGUUUAGUUGUUGCUUGGGUUUUUCAAAAUAACUGAAAUUGUCAAUUUUCUUGGUUCUUGUUCAUGUCUCUGCCAUUGCAAGGAGACUUUGACUGCCAUUUCCAGGUUGACCUUUUGGCCCAUGUUCCAAAGAAUCAUCCAAAAUAUAAUGAAUCUGUUAUUAAACUACAUGGUAUUCUUCAUAAUGUCAAGAUUUGGGAGGCUGUAUGUUGAAAUCUUUAUUUCAUAGUUGAUUUUUCUGGUUUUGUGGUUUUAAUAUGCAAAGUGAAAUCAUUAUUAUGCCUAACUUCCUUGAAGAUGUUUUGAUCAGUUCAUGAUUCAUGAGAUACAUAGUUAUAUGAAUUAGGUAAAUGGAGUUUCAAAAGCAAUGUCCAUGUAAUCUACUAUGAAGAUACUGUCUUUCCUCUUUUAAAUUACUAAAAAAACCUAGCUCGAUCUUUGACUGGAAAAAAUAUGUUUAAAAAAUAGUAUCCCUGUGCUUCACACCAUUGACCUUUGAUGUUGGACCCAAUUUUGCAUUUUUAAAAAAAAGAAAAAUUGGAAAGUAAUGCAUAGGAAGUUCUCUAGAAUUUGCUUCCACAUAUAUGUACAGUGUUUUGUUCCCUUUGGGGAAAUUUCAUCAGUGACAUUAUUUUUAUUGAUUGAUUUCUAUUGGUAAGACUCGCUUUUAUACUCUCUCAGUAGAUUCUUUUCUUGUUUUUGUUAUCCCCAAUUUUUUUUGUGAAUUCUUCUUUCUUCUAAGCAACUUUAAAUGUUCUUUUCAUUAUAUGAAUAUGUUAUUAUUGGGAUACAUCUAAUCUUGAUCCUACUUCUGUAGCAGGAAAUGACCAUAUUUUCUGUUUUGUUACUGGUGGGUCUGCUCAUGUGCAAAUGCAACUUAGCACCAAAGAGUGUGAGAGUCUGGGAUUAACUGGUCUGGCUCUCUGCUUAGACUGCAACACUUUUGCUGAGUACGUCAAGGACCAAGGUUAUACCUUUAUUAUAUGAAUUUUGUUGAUCCUCUGAUAUUUAUGGUUUUUGGUGGAUUUUAUUUCUGGGUUAUGAUGGGUUUUUUGAAUUGAUUACUCGCUUGUAAGUACAUGGGUUGUAAAAUGGUAAUAUUUGGGAUUCUUGUUUCUGUACUAUAGCUGAUUGGUUGUCAAAAUUAACGAAUAGUAGGAAGCAGAUGUGAUUCUUAUUGCUUUUAGUUGACUUAAGAUCUGGGUUUUUUUUUUUGGGAUUUAUGAAUUGCUUAUUUAUAUGUGAGAUGUCAUUGGUGAUAAUUUGAAACAAGAACCUAAAAAAGGCUAUGUUUUUAUACAAAUCAGAUUGAGCUAUUAUGCUUAUAACAGUAAAUAAGUGUAUUUUGAUUUUUGUUGUUUUCGCUAUAAUUUUUUGUGAUUAAGUUUGAUAAAAAAAAUGGAUGGAUAAGUAGUAUUUUGGAAGAUUUAUCUUUUUUCUUUUUGUGCCUCAGAUAACUUAAGUAUAAUCGCAGAAAUCGAAAUAAGAUCUUCAUUGGGAUUCUUAAAUUAUCUCAUGCAAUUAAUGGCGUUACAUUGUAAUCUAUAGAAUUCUAAGUAACUAGCCUGGAUUAUGGUAAUGGUUCAGUUUUGUUGCUCUUGAGGAUGUUUUGCACCUGAGCUGACAAUGAUCAAGACCUGCAAGAACAAACGUUCUACGGUCAUGAUUUCCUCAAUUACGCCUUGUAGUUCCUUAUAUUUGAUGAUUAGGACCAUACCUAUUAAAUUGGGAUAUUCUGUUGGCAUUCUUUAUUGUACCAAAUAAAGUACUAUCAGGAGAAAUUCUGAAUGGAAAUGUGCCAUUUUCUGAAACAUGUACCAGAGAACCCUUACUCUUCAACCCUUUUAUAUCCAUUUUGGUGACUUUGGAAAAUUUAAAUAGCUGAAGCUUGUGUAACAGAAUUCAUCAAUUAUAUAAUGACUUAGAUUUGUUAAAGAAUUUUGGAUAGUAAGAUUACAACAAACUUUUUGAACAUUCUGCAAUAAUUUUAGUUAACAGGAAGAAAAUUGCUUAUGUCGUCUAGAAAUCCUGGAUGUUUGACAAGAUCUGCAUUUAACAUAUGCAAUUUAGAUGAUAACUUCUAUAGAUUUCUGUAUGAUAUUGGAAUGAUCUUUUUGAGCAUUCCGCAAAUAAUAUACUCUAUGAGUAUGAUAAUCUGGAAAACCUAAUGUUUGAAAAGACUCCGGAUGCAGUUUAGAUUUGUCAGUGCCUCUUAGAAAUUUGCCCCUUGGCUUUGCCUUAGGCUUAGAGAUGGCUUGCUGGAUCGGUCCAUUUUUAUCUAUUGAUUUUUGUUGUGAAUUUUAGUGUGCAAAGCUUGGUCCUGUCGAUUCAAAAAUAGCUCAUUUGAUGCCCACUGUCUUGAGUUCAUUUUGUUUUGUUUUGUAAAUUUUUCAUUGAUUUCUUUGUUUUGUGUUUUGGCCUGUAUCGUUGCUUCUGAUAUAUGAUGAUUUGGUAUCUGUAGGGUAGGAGAAGGGGCGGUGGCAUAUGGUGUUAAAAAUCUUAUUUUUCAUAAGAAAUAUCUCCAAGUCAAUAGCUUAUGUAGAUGAAAGCCUUGGGAUAUUCCGCCUUCUAAAUCUCUCUGACCUUUGUUGUGUAAUUUACAGGAUCUAUUGAGGCAUGAGAGUAACAGAAGCCGUGGUGACAUCCCUUUCAUGUAUGUCAUUAUUGUGGGUUUGCUUGGCCUUGUUCUGGGUUAUCUUUUGAAGAGGACGUAAUCAAUCAAGGUUUGGCGUAACCUGCAAUAUCAUGUGUUACAGUCUGUUUCAAAAUAUUUAGAUCAUUGAAGACAAAUGUACAACUGAUCGGGAAGCGCUCAGUAUCAUGUAGCCAUCUGAUUGACUGUAGAAACAUGCUUAAGAAGGUGCUUGAUGGAUUUUUGUUAUUGCCUUGAGGGCUUUAGAGCAUUCAUUGUGUGACUAAUUGCUGUAACGUGUUAUUUUGGAAACUUAAGCGAUGGACAUAUUUUUAUCUUGCUUCUUGUUUUCUUUCCCUUUCUAAUGCCUUAAUGUUCAAUCAGCUAGAAUUUUGUUGGCUUUUUCCCCAGUGGUCAUAUUGUUUCAAUCAGUCAUCAUUUUAUCUUCAGUGGUCAUAUUUAAUUUUUCUCUUUGUGAUCUUGAUAUAAACAAAUAUUGAUUCAUUUUCUCAUUGUCUAUUGUUGAUUUGUUAUCCAAGCAUUUGAGAGUUUAGUUAACGUGUAUACAUACAGAAUAUGAUAAAUGUUAAACUAUUCGAUUUGGAGCCUUCAUCACUUGUGCUUUCAGUUUCAUUAUGCAAGUUGCAAAUCUGCCGUGGUUGAUGUGUACAUAGCCAAUAGUUUUGAGGGUGUCAAGUCAGCAUACUAGAAUAAUUUCUAAGUUUUAACCAGGAAUUAACACCAUCCGAAUCUCAGGGAACCAUCAAUAAGGUUAAGAAGCUUUUCAUCUUUCGAAUUUUAGAAUUUUGCUUGAUUUGAACAAUAAUAGAAAUCGAAUUGAAUUACUUAUCAGAUUGAGUAAACAAAUAGCAUCUCCACUGUUAAAUAUUUGGUUUUUUUUUUCUUCCCUAAAAGGUUACUUGUUUGCAAAACUACAAGACUAAUAAAAUAUAUUUGUUUUGAGAACAAAAGUAAAUGAUCAAUAAAGAAAUAUCUGACCCGGACACUCCUGUGUUGACAAAAAAAAAAAAAAAAAAAAAUCUGAAGUUUUGCUUUUCUUGGUUUUGCAUCUGCAUCAUCGCUGCAGCCGAGGAAACUUCAUUGGUAGAGUUUUCAUUGUGGGUCUGUAGAGACUGCAUUUUAGAGAUCUUUUUUGUAUGUGGAUAUGAUUAUAUAUUAUUUUAAAGUUUCUUUUAUGGAAAAAAAAAGAGAAGAUGUUAUAUUUGUUGUAUGUUGUUGACUUAAAACUUAUCUUGCAUCUGAAAUAUUUUCAUUGUGUAAUUAUUUGAUUUGGUUUUUCAAAACUCAUUCAUUGUCUUAAUAAGAUUUUAGACACGAGAUAAUGGUUUGUUUAUCUUAUCAAUUAUAUGUAGAUUUUUAGCCCGUAUUGUGUUGAAUCCUGUAUCUCUUGCAAUUAUGUGGUCGUUUUUAUAUUUUACAAUUAAAUAGGCUUCUUAUCCGACAUAUUUUAGUAUUGCUCUCAAAAAGUUGACCUUCCUCUUGAAUUUGUUCAUGAGUGGCAUAUUUUUUGUGCACAUCAAAUCAUUGCAAAUACAGUUAGUAUAUGCAAGAUGACGUUACAUGGUAAUAUAUUAUUUUGAAACUCAUGACAUUGCCAAUCCUAUUCAAUUAGUAGAUAAAGCAAAAACUGACUCUUCGUCGCUUAGUCACUAAGUUAAAAUUGUGGCUUAUUUUCACUGCUUAAUAAAAUUACAAAAACAUAAUCCUAAAGAUUUUGGUGCACCUUUGUAUAACUUUUCAUACUUACUAUCUAAAUUUGAGUAAUUGCGCAUUUCUGGGCAAGUCCAAAAAUUACACCGCGCAUCGCGCGGUGUUACCCUCCUAGUUAUUUAUCAUGUUUGAUCCAGUUUACCAAUUUAGCGACUGAGACAAAUUUUUUAAAAUUUGCAAAUCCCCCCAAUGAGUUACUCCUGUAUGCUAUAGGAGUACAUCUACGCAACUUGAACAUAAAUGACAAUUUCCGUUAAUGUUUAGUAAAUAUCUGCAUGGAAUUAUUUUUGAGAUCUUUAACAAUUUAAAUAUUAUGAUUCCCAUUAUACACGAAAGUCAUAAAGUGAUGUGUUUAAGGAUUAAAUCCAUCAAUUUAUUUGUAGUUUGACCAUGCUCAAGUUUCAUUUAUGUCAGAUGAAUCUUAAGAGCGUGUUUGAAUAACAAAUCAUUUGGGAUAAUUUUUUUUAAACUAUUGUAGCGCUUUUUCAUGUUAUGUAUAUAAGAUAAAAUGGUGAUUGAAAAAUGUGUUGAAGAUAGAAACAAAUAAAAUUUGGCAAAUAAUCACUAUCCAAACAAAUAAAAUUGUAGGGUUUUACCUUGAAAUGUUUUUCAAUAUUAGGCUUCUUUAUUGUUUCGCUAGGUGAUUGACUAAUUGCUUUUUUUUUUUCUCUUUUUUUUUUUAGAAGUAAAAUAGGAGCAGCUGAAAUACCCAUCAUUUACAAGAAAGAUGUAGGUACGCUUUUCAAAUUUAGAUGGAAUUCCAGGGCAGUCUCUUUAAGCUCUCAGGAAGAUUGAUAUAUUGACUAACCGCAGCGAAAUGAGGGUUCACUAUCAUUUCUCACAUGAAAUUGGCAAUUAAUCUCACCUCCAACUAAAUGAAAUACAUUUCUUUUGAUGCUUUUACGUUGAUGUUAUCCUCUAUUACCAUAAUUGUACACUUCUUUUUUUGGUACAAACGAAAAUAUACACUUAUUUUGAAGUUUUUAAAGCAUUGGCAUUGAACAAUGUAGCAAAGAUAUUACUGAAUAGUCACAAAAAGAAUAGUCACAAAAAUUAUCCACUUCUUUUUUUGGUAAAAAUGAAAAUAUACACUUAUUUUGAAGUUUUUAAAGCAUUGAAAUUGAACAAUGUAGCCAAGAUAUUACUGAAUAGUCACAAAAAGAAGACAACCGUAUUUCUAUCAGCUAGCAUAUGUGCUGAAAGAUAAUUUUUCCCUAUCAACUUUUGCAACGAAAACAUCGAAGGGGAAAGUAAGCAAGGUAAGAAUACCUUGCAAUUCGUACCGGCUUCACUUCGAGACACUCUUCUUCAAAUCCUUGAGGUGCAAGAUGAGCAGCAAGGCUUUUCAAUCCCCAAAUACACAUUUGUAGUCAGUACAAGGCAAGAAGAGGCAUUUUUUCCGUUUUGACUACAUAACUUAGAUGUUUGUUGUUCAUCACCAUCUAACUUCUCGAGAAACACAGCAACCGUAACCAUUUCCAGUUCUAUCUCUUAUUAAUCGGACAAGAAUUCAAGGUUCAAAAGGAACUUAUAGUUGCAGUUAAAGAAAAUGCCUGCUGAAGUUUCAGUUACUUCAAGGGCCAUUCUACUAAAUCAAGUAAAAUACCAAUUACAAAAGAUCCCAAUGGAUAUUCACACGAGUUCUGACAUGCCAGGUAACAUGCAGUCUUUCCUAACCAGCUAACUUGACAAUACAUGACGGGCCAAAUUACUAUCCAUCCCUCAAGCUUAACUAAAUUCAGAGGAAUCUCAUAUUUCAACAACUAUGAUUUUCAGGCAUUUGUCCCCUGAAACCCUCCCUGGUUUGGUUGAUAACCACCCUCACCACUCUGAGGUACAUUCUGGCCAUUCAUUGGUGUUGGCUGCUGCGGCGCUGCUUGCUGAUUUGGAGACCAGGCCUCUCUUCGAAUAGGCUCUCUCCUUUCAACCUGCAUUGUCUCACGUCGUCUAUCAUACCGUGGACGAGGCCUGUUCCUGGUUUGUUGCCUCUCAUUGAAUCUAUAUUGUGGCCUAGGAAUAACCUUUCCAUCAACAAAAAGAUCCCCUAUAGCAAAUUCAAAAACAGCACCAAGAAAUGUUUGAUUACCAUGAAAAAGUAAUAGAGGAAAUGUAAGGACAUAAAACAUUAAAUUUCCACUCUGCUAACCUCCAUAGUCCUUGUUGGGAACAUCAAGAUAUGAAUCAGGCAAAACCCACAGAACAUCUGGUAAACCUAUUUCAAGACACACAACGUGGAAUUAGUCCAAAAAAACCUCAAAAGUAAUCUAGAACAAGCUAUUUUUUGUCCAAUCUCAAAUUAAUUACUUUAGCAAAAAUAAAUCAAAAGUUUGAUUAAGCCAGGAACAUUAGCAAAUAACAUGUUCAGAUAGUCAGGAGAUAUAAACAAAAAAUAAUUGUUCCGGCCAACAGUUUCCAAAGAAUGUAGAACAUUGAACACAAUUCCCAUAAGUGUACAUUCAAUUGAAUAUCUCAAGCAAUGACUCUACAAUUACGACUGUAAACAAAUGAUAAGCAUAUACUAGACCUUUUAAACCCCAUCAAGAUCCUGAUACUGUGGGAAUAGGUUGGAAAAAUAGAAUACAUAACACAAUGUGACAUCCCUUGCUUCUUCAAUUUUCUUCUGUACAGAAGUUGCCAUAUGAUUGUUUUGAAUUUUAUUGCUACAGAAGAUGAUGUUUUUCCUUCUCCUAAUUCAGACUAUUAGAACAAAGCAAACUCUGAUCCUCCAAAAGGGGAAAGAUCAAGAACAAAGUAAACUUCACCCAAACCCGAAAAAAUAAACACAAAAAGACAUAGCAAGUCAUAAAAUAACUAUGACACUUUAUUGAUAUCAAAAUCUCUCCAAUUACCAUGGGGCAUUGAUUACCUUUAACUUUGUAUGAGAGCUCCUCAGAAAUCAAAGCACCAAAUCCAGUGUAUGUUGUUGUGCAAACAGAGUAAAUUUUCUUCUUUGCCUCCUCUUCACUGCAUAAUAAACAAACAAGACAUGACACAAUCUCAGAUUAACAACUGUAUGUUGAACCUUUAGAUAAACUAUGGCUAUUAAGCAACUAGGAGAAACAUCUCCAAAACCAAUGGCCAAAACUUAGUGCCAAGCAGCACACAGUUACGUACAUGAAGUUCUAACAAACAACUUAUUGACACUGAUGAUUAGUUCCAUUUACUAUAUUUUCAGGCAGAUAACAUUACAGUACGCUGAAAUGCCAAUUCAUCAAAAUGCCAUCUAACCAUCCUAUACCGAAAAACAUGCAUUCAAUCUGAAAAUUGUACAUGCACUAGUAGACGUCGAUGACAGAGUGGAAAAGUAUAGCAACAUUCAUACUGGAAACAGGUAAAACUAAAUGCCAGAAACGUAUGAUAAAAAACUGCAUUGAGUACAUGAAUUUCUCUUUUUUGCCACACUUUCCGGUACAAAAAAACAUGCAGAGGAAACUUAAGUAAACAGGUUAAAGAAUCAUACUUUAUACAAAGAUUUUCCAACAAUAUCAAUGCCAUGCAAUCAUAAAUAUUUCCUAGUUUGGGUUUUGCAUAUCAAGGAUAAUCCCCUGAGUAAAGCACACAUAAUGUAUAUUUAAAAAAAUUACAAGCUGAAUUAAAAGAUCAUCCCCUUUUUUCUUUUUCUUUUUUUUUUGGUUCUGCCUUUCUCUUGUCAACGAUUUAUCAUCAAGGAAUUAGUUAAAAACACAUAAACUAACAAGAAGUACAUCAAUUAAGUUCAAGGGCAUUAUACCCUAAAAAAUCUUGUAAUUUCGUCAUAAGAUAAACUAAUUUUUUUUUUCAUUUUUCUUUCCAAAAAAUUAAUUACUAGGCCUCGGUUCAAAUCUAGUACAACAUAAAUAAUUGGAUAAAAAGGAUAAUCAUGUCAAGAAUCUAAGCAACAUGUGGUUGCCCACCGAGAAAAAGUAAUUGUACCUUCCAACAACAGAGGCUAGGGUUUUAACAUAAGUGUUAACCAUUUCUUCAUCCGAGGGUUUGGGGUCAUUUGGGAACUCCAUGACGAUAAGCCAGUGUUCAUAGUCGCAACCGUCGAGGAGUAUCGUCUCCUUCGGCGGUCGGUUGCUCCAGUUGGGUGACGGGUCAUUUAGGGGAGAGUAGCCCGACCCGGAUGUUCUGUUCCGGGUUAGGAUGUUAUACGGGAUCGGAGCUGCCUCUGGGGUUUCGUUAUGGAGAUUGAGGAGAGGGACAGUGAGGCGGGCACGAGAAGGAGAUGAUACGGUGCGGCUGAAAAGGGUGGCUAAUGUGCGCCGGGCGGCGAAUAGCGCCAUGGCUGCUGCUGCUGCUGCUGGCUACAGAGUAUUGACGAGAUGGUUGGGCUAUUUUAUUCAUCUUCUCGCGGAAGAAAUUGCACUUUGGCCCUUCAUGUUUGGGUUUGUUCUUUUUCUGCUAUUUUAUUUUGGAUUUGUUCUUUUUCUGCUAUUUUCUUUACUCUUUUUUUUUUUUUUUCCUGAUGGAGGGGGUUUUCGGGUCAUCAAAUAAAUCGGACCCGACUAAUCCCCCACCGGUCCGGGAGGAGAGGCCCCAUCCCCCGAACACGAUAACCAUGGGAUUCGAACCCUGGUGGGACUGGACAACGGCUCCUAAGCAGGCUUACCGUGGCCAACCGAGAAUUGAAUUUACUCAUUCUUGAUACUACUUCAAGAAUUUACUCAUUCUUGAUACUACUUCAAGAAUUGAAUUUAAACAAGUAGAACGCUUUCGUGUAUAAGCAAUAAUUAAUUUCUUACUUAGCUUGACAAUCAAUGAUUAGUUCCUUUAUUUUGUUUUGAUGAGGGAGGUAAAUGAGUUGUAUAUACUGAACACUAACUUAUUGUUUAUAAGCACAGUUUCACUGAGUAAAUUUGACUUACAAAAUAUUGGGGAGUUUGGAUGAAGAAUACAAACUUUUAUCUUUUUUAUUGGGAUAAGUUUGAGUUCUAUUUGAUCGGAGUGUUCCAUCAAUGCAUGAAUUUGUGUUCAUUGAUAUCAAGUUUAAAUCGAAUCAAAAUGUUAACAGGCAUAAAUUUUAUUUAGAUUUGAUCUAAUUAAGUUAACCGAUUAAUCUGAAAUGAGUUUUUGUUAAAUUGAACUUGAUUCAUGUAGCAGUUAGUAGCUUGGUUAAUCUAUCCUGGCUUAUUUGUGCUAAAACUAGUCUUCUGAAUUUAUUUUUUCAUAUUCUGAAGGCAUGUCAUCAUUUAGCUUGGUUCAUGUAUAAUUGCUUCUCAUGUUUUGAAUUGUUCUUCCAAAUUAGACAAGGCGAGGGAUCCAACACUAGGUACCGUACCUUCUUUAAAAGUAAAUUAUUGAUCACCUCACAUACACAUUUUUCUUACAAAAUAAGGUUUAUGUGAAAACUGCCCUUAGACAGAAUAGAAAACCAAAAAGAAUGGAAAGACAACGAAUUGGAAAUAAAGUUUGUAGGUUUGCAAUAAAUUAUUUAUAUAAUGAGUGGCCAAUUGACACUAAUGUUAGAACUUAGAACUAUAGCGUUAGUUUCUGAAUAAUAAUAAUAGAAAGAAUUAAUGGGAAAAUUGCUUCAAUGAAAGGGUGAGGGAACAGAAAUGUAGUAAAUGUGCACUAGAUAGCAAACUCAGCUCAAUCUCAAAAUUAAUCCAAGUUUAUUUGGACCAAUCCAUUAAACCAUGUUGGUUUUAAUUUGCCUAUUCUUUGUCCACAUAAUUUGCAUGGAAAUGAGAGACAUAAUUUGUUCCUUCUUUUUUGGCCUCUCUAUAUAAUUUGUCAACAAUAAGAGACAACAGAUCGAAAAGGGUCUUUUGAGCGAAUGUGCAAAUUUAAUGAGGGGCAGCAUGCUGUUUCCGGGCAGCUAUUGCAUCUAAAAUUAGUGUAUUUGGAUUCGACUUUAUAUUUGGAGAAUAUGAUAUAUGUGAGAUAAAAAGAUGAUUGGGGAAAUAAAAAUGUGUAGUAAAAAAUGUGUUUGUGAUACAAACAAAUAAUUUUUGUGUAAAUGAUGCCUAUUUCCCUGUCCUAACAAGAAUGCUUUCUCUAUUUCCGUCCUUGCAAGAUCUUCAGUUUUGUUCGUGUAUUAGCACUUGCAACAUUCUCCCCGUUCUCCAUAUCCUAAUCAGCCCUUCCCAUCCCCAGAAAAAAAAAAAAAUAAAUCAAGAUUUAGCUUCUAGAAAGCAGAAAUACUUCUUUCCCUACACAUCUGUUUGUUCUUUUUUUACUGGAAAUAUAUAUAACUAUAAUACACAAGGAGCAGGGGUUUGUACACCGCUAGAGAUAACUCGCGCAUUAGCACAAAUGGAGGAAAGUCUAGCGGUCCUCGUGUUCCUGAGAUUGAUGUUGGUAAAAUACACAUUUUGGCAAGGAACCGAUGGGCUGCACGUUAGACUGAUAGCAGUUUCUGUGCUUGUGGUUCCCCUUAUGUUUUCAUAGACAACAUCGGUGAUUCUUACUUGAGAUGGCUGCAUAAAAUUAAACAAUCAAAAUCAGAAUUGGGAUUUCUUUCUUCUUCACAUGGGAGAUUAAUCACUUCAUAUUGGCUUUCAUUGAUUGAGGUCCGUAGCUUAAUUUGUUUACACAGCUGGAGAGAGAGAGAGAGAUUAACCGACCUGGGUGGAGGAUCCGCCAUAGUUUUGGUCUAUGAUGAUGGGGUUCAACACAUUUUCCAUGACAAUAUCGCUGAAACGCAUCCCUGCAGCAACACUUGGACCUGAUCCUGCGUAUGUUUUAAUUCUGACGCCAUUUGUAGUGCCUUGCAGUGUGCAAUUUUUCACAAUCAGCCCUCUCACAUCCAAUUCAUUGGGAUAUUUGCCCAGGCUACCUAUGCUGUUUCAUGAACAAUAAUAAUGUUAACCCGAAAAAGAAAAAAGAAAAAAGUUAAUAAGGUUGUUAACCAAGAAUGCAAUCACUAAAAUGAGCUAGAUUUUGAUUCGCACGACGAUCCAAUCAUCAUUAAGCAAACAACUUUCGUGUAAGCCAAAAAGUACCUGAUGCCAUGUCCAGGGCCGCAGGUGACUUUGUUAAUGGUGACAUUAGUGGCUCCCGGUCCAAUAGAGACACAAUCGUCGCCUGUUCUGAUUACACUUCUGGCUAUCUUCACAGUGUUAGAUUUGCUUACGUGCAUGCCAUCGGUGUUGGGACUAUCUGGAGGUGCAGUAAUGGUGAGGCUAUGUGCUCUAAAUAGGUAGCUGUUAGUAACGUGCAUGUGAAAUCCCAUGGCGUUUACCAAGCUGAUACCCUUGAUUUUUGCAUUCUUCACACCAUUAAAGUGGAAAGACUGCACAAAUUCAUCAAAAAAACAUAAAAUGUGAGAUUCUUGCAGGGAAAGUCAGAGGAAAGUAAGGGAAAGAGACAACAAAAGUUAAAUGCAAAUGUCUCAGUUUCCAAUUCCUAUGAUUGGUCGAAGAUAUAAUAUGGGGCCAUGAAGAUAAAUUUUCUUGAAAUCUAUCAGCACUUUCUUCAGAUAUAAUUUGCGGUCAGUUCUUUGUCACCAAUAGUAAAUUACUAGUAGUAGGGUUUAACGAUCUAAAAUAUUUUAUCAAGACUUUUUUUUUUUUUUUGAAAAGAGAGAGAGAGAGAGAGAGAUUUUCUAUGGAUAGCAUAUAAAAGAGCUGGAUUAUGUGACAAUUUUUGGACGAAGAAUUGCAACCCCGUAAGACUGAGUUUAUUUAGGUGCUUACGGCUGGUAAAUGCACACAAUCACCAUUAUUUUUGCAGUCAUUGUAUUGCCAUACAUUCUGGCCCCGGCCGUCAAUGGUACCUCCGCCAGUAAUUACCAAGCCGUUUAUCGUGUCGAAAGAAAUCCAGCCUUGACCGGAGUAUGCAGAAACAUCAGACACGGCUUGUACGGUUCCGGCAACCUGGAAAACGAUGGGACUUUGGCUGCUGCACGGCCCCUCAAAUGUGACCUCUCCGAGCGUGAAAAUCCCUGGAGGUACAAACAAACUUGCCCUUGGUCCAACGAAUUUACAGGCAGCAUUCCAUGCCCUCAUGAAAGCCUGCUGGAACGCAAUUAUGGAACUACCAUUAAUUCUCUAGUUUAUGUGGAUAAAUUCAAAACGAGAGAUGGUUACAUUAUGCAUUAAUUAUUACCAUCAUCAAUCAAGUAAUGGUUGGGCAGGAAAAUUAUUCAUCUAUUUAUUUUGUUUUUUUUUUCUAUUCUAGCAAUCUGUAAAAGGACAAAUCAUAAUCCAAUAUUCAGAAAAUCAUUGGUGAUGUGCACUAGCCAGUUGCAUAAUCAAUAGCAAAUGCAUAGCUUACAACCCAAAUAAAUACUAUCUGCAUGAAUGAAUACGAUAAUUCACCUGGGCACUAUCUGUAUUGCCGGGCUUUGCACCAAAGCUGACCACAUUAAAGACGGCAGGAGGGGCGGGCCGUGGAAGGCCGCCAGCUGCAUUGCAAGAAGCCAGAGCCGAACAUAAAACAAGGACCGUAGCAAUUGUGCUGCUGCUGCUUCUUCUAUCCAUGGCCAUUUUACCUGCCGCAGCAACCCUCAAAAACUGGUCUCCUCCUCCAAUUGUUUUUAUAAAUUGCUUGUUUGCUCUCACCCCAGGGAUUUUAGAUGUUGAAAGGGCAAGAGCUCUCUCUCUCUCCGAUAUCUUUGUGUUUGGUUCUUUUUAUAAUUCAAAAGCAAUCAUUGUUCACACUCCAUAGUUAUCGGCAAUGCCUGUAUAUUGGCUGUUCGGACGCUGCGGACGACCUUAAGUUUACGUUUUGUUCUUGUUUCGGCUUGUCUCCGAAAUUGAGGGCUGUUAUUUAGUCACCCUUUCAAGUUCCUUCAAACAUAGCACUAAUUUAUUAGCCGCCGGGCCAUGCACCUCUCUCUUUCUCUCUCACGCCCGCAAACUUUGGUAAUUGACCUCUCGCCUCUCAUUUUCAUCGAGUCCACCCAUAACUGAGAUUAACGCUCACCAGUUUUAACUUCCUGAGAACCUUAUUAUACAUGUCUCAAGCCACAUGGUGGACUGUCACCAAGUAAUGAUCAUGGUAAGUCAUAUGUUGACUAUUGUCACAUGAUGCACAGAGAUUAUGAAAUUCCCUCUCUGCGGUUGCCUUACCCAGCUAAUUAACCUCGGAUUAACAAACCAAAUGCAAAGGGCAUGUAUGGUUAAUUUUCAUGAUUAGUAUGGCUAUUAAAGCUUGCUCUUCUUCGAUCUUGUAGACAUACAAAUGGGAAGCGUUUUGGAUACGUCACUCAUCAAUAUAUACUCUUUUUUUUUUUUUAUAAAAAGGAGCUUGGGUGGAAAUAUAUAAUCAUGGGAUUGGGACCAGUAUGAUUAACAUGAUACAAGUGAUAGAGUUGUCGUAUUUUUUUAUUUUUUUUUAUCAUCUGGCAUAUACUUACGGACAUAGUGUACUCAUACUUCGAAUUAGUGUAUUAUCAACGAAAUUUAUUCGCACAACAGAAUAAUGUAGGGAUAAACCAUGUCGUAUAAAAAGGGGAUAAUUGCAAGGAAAUCUCCCCUGAGGUGGUUUCUGACACUUUCACUAAUCUCUUCUGAGAUUUUAAAAAUUAUACUAACCUCCUUUGUCGGAAAUUUGGACCCAUUACUUAUAUAAGAUAUAGUGAAUAUACUACUUUGCCCUAACACAUUAUGCAUUAUUACAAAUAGAUAUUUGACAAAAAAGGUUAGGGCACUAAAUAAUAAGAUUAACUAAUAAAACCAAAAAAAUGAUUAUUUCAUCUCAAAUUAGCAACCAUAAUUACAAUAAAAAAAUGACAUCAAUUGCUAUCCUAAGAUGGCGCUAUUUUUGUGAUUAAUAUCACUUAACAAUGGUCAGAACAUGCAACCUUAUAUAAUCUGCACAAAUAGAUUUUAUGAGCAAGAGAAAUAGAAGAAUUUUCUGAUUGACUUAUUUUGUUGAAUCUUGUGUUCAGACAAAACUAUUCAUGCCUUUUGUUGUUGAUUUGUUGACUAAGACUUGUAUGUUUUUUGCACCAAUACUUUUCCUUUCACCUCGUCAACUAAAAUAAAAAGAUUAAUUUUUUACCCAAAUUCAGAUGCUUCUACUACUAAUUUAAUAGCAUUAUAGAGUUAGUUGUGUCUUUUAUGUGUAGUUGCAAAUGACAAAAAAUUAUGGCCAUUACAAUUUGUACUAGCUAUGUGCAGAGACCAUUGUUGCUUCAGGUUAUAGUUGCUACAUCUUUUCAAAUUUUACGUAUAUCCCUUGACUUUUCAAAUUUUACCAAUACAACUUGAGGACAAUUAUCAUGGAAAAGGGUGUAUAUGGAAGAAAAUUAUCAUCUGAUCACUCUUCAAAAUACUUUUUAAUAGUACUUUUUUGAAUUGGACUGAUUAGGUACCAAAACUUUAAGUUAAAGAGAGAUUAGUGUUUUUUUUAAAAAACUUCAAGGAAGGUCAGGUUUUUAUCUGUUUUAAACAUCGGAUUUCCUUUAUUUUGCUGGAUCCGAUUUAUGAACUUUCCUCACAUUCCAAACUUUUAUCUAUGUGGGCCAGUUCCAAAGUCCUGGAAUUUAGAUGUCUGUAUCCACCACCACACCCCACCGCCGCCCAAAAAGAUAUAAAGAAAAAAACAUAGAUGAAAAGAAAAUCUUUGUGAGAUACACACUUGCAUAUCUUUGGUUCAUCAAGAUUGAUACAUAGAAAUAUAUAUAAGUAUAAUUUAUUACUUUCUGAAAUCUAGAUAUUACUUUCCUAAUGGAUCUAAGAUUCUGGAUGAUGAACAACUGUAUUGCUAUUGGAGGGGGCAGAUUAACUUUCACUUUGCACAGGUAAUUUUGCUAAUGUCUUUUAACGAUUGGAUUUAAGCGAGAAGUUAGGCGUGCAAAAUGUUAAAAAUUAAAAUUUAGAGCGCAAAGUGAAAACAAGAUAUAAGCUUAGUAAUGCAAAUUAGAGUUAGUCCUAGAAAAAAUAGAGAGCUCUCUUAGAGUACUAAAACUAGAAGUCCAUUAAAACUAGCAGUGGAUUUGAGAGACCACAGCCAGACACCACGCUGAUACGUACGUACUAUUAAAAGGGAAGGAAGCAAAAAAAAAAACGAUUUCAUGCAAGACCAUAUAUAUAUACUACUAGAAGACAAGCAUAACACGUAUAGAACUAGUGACAUCUUCUGAUGCUUCACGCCGGCAGCCAGCUAGCGGAGUACCAUAACUAACUCGUCUGAUUUUCCCAAGUGGUGCAGAAGAAAACCUCAGGAUUAAUCAGCCACGGAGAACACCAAAGAGUGAUUUUCGCUUACCAGCAUCCUUAAUCAACACCCCUCCAUAUUUUCUUGCAGCUUGGUUACAGUCAAUGGCUUCAUUUUCUUUCGUAGGAAUAUCAAUAAUGUUAUUACUCACCAGUGGCAAGUUGGACCUUCGAUUUGACCAAAAUGGUUGCUGAAUUCGAUUUGCUUGAGGCUGUUGACGCUCCGGACGAGGUGGUGGCGGCGGCCUAGUGGUUGGACCACGGUACUCUUCACGUUCCAACGUCGCAAAGCCUUCCUUGCCAAUCUCCACUAGACUUGCUCUAUUCUUACGUCCCAUUUCAACCAAAGACUACUAUUUGGAUGCUAAUCGAAUACUAGUAAUUAUAAAUACUGAUCGGAUGAGCAAAGAGUUCGAUUGCUUUUGCUUGGUACAAAAACUAAUGGAUUCAUACAUCUUAUAUAUAGAGGACCAAAAAGUAUCUAUCACUCGCAUCCUGCAUGCCAAUGGUAGCCUAUAUACUUUACUUCCUAGCUAGUUUUAGCUUCAUUAUUGGCAAUAUUCAAUGUUCAAAAAUCAAGUUGGGUCAUGGGUGUGGUUAAACAUUCAUGGCUUUUGAGCGAUAUUGAGUCAAAGAUUCUUUCUUUUUAGGUUUUUAUGCAAUAUGUACUAAAAUAUUCUUUCUUUCGUGGCUCUUUAGGCUUUACAUUGAGUAAAAAAAAAUUCUUCUUUGGUGGCUCUUUAGGUUUUCGCGGAGGCAGUGAAUAAUUUAUUAGUGGAGAAAGCUCCAAAGAGAAAAAUUAUACCGAUUCGCCUAUAGAUUGACAUUAAUAAAAUGAUCAAUUCGAGUUUGAUUGUUCAUUGAAAUAGCUAGUUAACAAUUGCGGUACUAGCUUUUAAUUAAGUUUGUUUGGAUUGGGUUUUAUUUCCCCAAAUUUAUUUGCUUACAUCAUCAUUACAAUUUCCAAUACACCUUUUUACCUUCUCAAUUACCUUUUUAUCUCACAUACAUCACAUCACAAAAAGUGCUACAGUGAAAAUAUCUCUAAUAAUUCACAAUCCAAACAGACAGAAUGUUAUCUACCAAACAAUAAACAUACCACAAAAAUUUUUUUCAUUCUACUUUUGUUUUGUCGUUGCUCUUUAAUUUGCAGUUUUUUCUCUAAGUUUUUUUUUUUUUUUUUAAUAGGAGAAGGGUUAGGUUUGAAAAGCGGCUAUGAUUUCAAUCUUAGCCAGUAAAUUAAGAUCUCUUUAACUAUUUUUUUAAUGUAUAUAAACACUAAUUCGAGCUUUUUCUGUUAGUCAAUCAAUAAUUACAGGGUGGAUGAGGUCAUUGAAUUACGUAACACUGAAUGACGUCUAAAUGGUAAUUUUGCGUGUUCUAGAGUUAACGGUAAAAGUUGCCAAAUGGAUUCAGCAUUAUAUCUGCAAUUCUUUGAAGCUUGUUGAGCAGGACGAAUCCAUAGAAGAAAUUACUACUGACAUCUUUAUUCCUUUAGCAUUGUCUUCAUCUUAAAUAAAUUUUCGGUGAUCUGAAUUUUGAGCUUCCUAUAUCUCAUAUCCAAGUCGACCGACCAAGUAAAAGAGUUGCUGGAAUUUCCACAUGCAUAUCCACCACCACCACCACCACCACCACCUAGUAUGGAUGAGAUAAUGUUUGAUCACUGAUCACCCAAGAAUUUAGAAGAUUCCUUAGUACUACGCUUAAGUUGUGUAGAUUCUACGUGUUGCGAGUCAUUGAAAUUAAAUCCAAUGUAAAUGUUUUAUUACAGUUUGUACGUAUAUAUAUUCACGGUUCAGGAAGGCCAAUGAAUUUGGUAAAUGAGUUGAAACUUUUUUUUUUUCAUGUGUUGUACAUCAUAAAAUGGGGGAAUCACUGGGCAGGUACGGUUAGAUUUAUUUAGGCGCAAUUCGUAUGAUCGUUGUAUUUUUUUUUCUUCGUGAUUUGGCGUAUAUUCACGUAACUUUAUUAUAUUUCUUGACAUCUAAUAAAAGUUAUAUAAGUAUACACUAAAUCAUAAAAUACAAUAAAAUUAUGUGAAUGUAUACCAAAUCAUGAAAAGAAGCACGACGACAAUCAGAUCAAUUACACCUAAGGCUAACUGUACGUGUUCCAUUCCCUGAAUUGUAUGUGAGUUAGUCCAUUCUUCUGGGGUUUUUGGCAAUCAUAUGAAAUCACGUUGGUUUCAAUCUACAAGUGAUGACGCAAAAUACUAGAACUAGUUUGUCGACUUAGCAUCUGGUUCAAAACAUCUAUAGCCCUUAAAUGAUCCAGUAUCGAAUUACAAGUAGUUAAUGGAAUUUGGAAUAUUUCAACAACCCAGAUCGGUCAAUAUAUUAUUUGCCUAGAUGAUUGGUAGAAGUACGUACGGCAAUGUUAGAUAAUGAAGAAAAUCUGGCUUGUGGGAUAAAUUAAUGUGUGAAUUGGAGGAUAUGGAUUCAAUUUUUGUGGGAUAUAUCAGUGCUAAACUAAUGAUUUUUUUCCGCUUCAUGAAAUCUGAGUCGACCAACCUUUUAGAUUAAUUAUUGCAAUUAUAUAUCUAAAUAAAUUAUCACCCGUAUCAGUGUUUUGUUACUUCAUUAAUACAGCGCGAAUCAGAUUCUGGUGCCUUGCUUUAAGUGCUGCUUAUUGUGCGUACGAGGACGUCAAAAGUUUAUCAAAUCAAAGAGGCAUCCAUUAACCAAAGCCAGAAUAUAAAGUAUGGUAUUAUACUGAGCUUUAAGGUUCGCCAAUAGUGCAGUAAUUAAACAACACUAAUCAUUGUUCUUAGACUAAAAUAUGGGAUUUUUCACACAACUUUUUCUUUUCUAGAUACGAUUGCGGCUAAGAAAGUCAUUCUUUCUUAAUUAAUGGAUGAGAAGAUCGCACCGCAUGCCCCAAUAAUCUCGCAAGUAUAAACUAUAUGUGUACUUGCUAUUUUCAGAUUAAAAUUAUCUGGGGGAAUGAUCUUGUGCAUAUGGAAGGCAAAUAAAUUACAGUGGCAUCAAGCCAUCAACUCCAGACAGCUUGAUCCACAUGUCUCAGUACUGGAAUCAUAACAGUGUGAAUUCACUCUGGUAAUUAGGGUUAUAAUUGAAGAUGAAGAAGUGUAACUUUCAUGCACAAAGGGAAUAUCCAGCGUCUUUAGCCGGAGAUGCCACCUCGUCGCAGGAAUUAAAUCUACGAGAUGCAAACUUAUCUGAUCGCCAUUCAUGAAGGUACCCAUCAUCAUGAAUCAUGAUCAGCUCAGUAUUUCCACGCACUUAAAGAGUUUUCUCUUGGGACAAAUCUUCAAUUUAAUAUUUAGAAACAGAUUGAUGCGAAUCCAAGCCUUACCGUCCUGGCUAAGUAUGCAGAGAAAAUUACAAUCUGUUGAUUCAUCGAUAUCCAAUGGUAUGUUUAGUAUGGUAUAUUCAAAGGGAAAAAAGCAAAGAGAUAAGAGAAUAAAAUGGAUUUGCUUUAUUCGUCGUCUUUGGAUUACCUUUGAACAAGAAAUUUGGGAAGAUCGAGACAAUAGAAAAUUAAGGUGUAACUUAAUUAACUGUCCAUAGCCUUAAAGCUUAGAUAAGUUUCAUGUCCAUCAGAGUAGAAGAAAACGCAAUGACUACAUACAAAGGGCAUUUGAAUGAGAUUUAACGGGUGACUUUACGCUGAAAAAGCUCAACCUAAAUGGAAACUCGAUUUGUUGGAUAGCUAAUUUAAGACCAAAAAAAACUAACCUAGCUAAACAUACUUGAUAACAAUUACUAUUUGUUAGACUUCUUAAAAAUCAAUUCAAACUUAAAACAGCCUGAGUUGGACUGUUAUUAGCUUGUCUACAAUUCAGAGGGAUGAGAGACUACUUUCGGCCAUAGUUCAGCUCAGAUUUGUUCAAAGCACGUAAAAAAUCUUAGAAGGGACAAACUACACAAUUUUAGGGUUUUAACAACGCAAAAAAAAAAAACACAGAUUGAAAAUUUUCUUUUCUUGGACAACAUUUUGGCAAGACCAAAAAUGUUUUGAGGCUAAUUAUGGGCAAGUAAGUCUUGAGCACAUGCAGCUAAUUAAUCAUUUUUUUAACUCUAAUGGUGAUUAUCUGAAAAUAUACCAUUCAGUUUGAGUAUAGUACAAACAAUGUUGACCCAAAGCGCUUUUGCUCCCUCGCUCUCAUUCAGGAUCCAUAACACGUCUAAAUCACAUCCCAAAGAAAUAGAAUUUGUUGAACUACAUCACGAAUUUGAUGACGCUAUUUAGCAGGAAGUUAUUGAGCCAAGCAAAAUUAAUUAAGCUCGCAUAUGCAUGAAUUUGUCGAUAAAUGUGAAACUUAUCAUCAAACAUUCUGAAAAAAGAACGUGCUACCCAGCCAGGAUGAACUUAUAAUGCGUCUAAAUCUAAUUUCCAUAAAUUAAGUAGAUGAAUAAAUAGAGUCGCAGUAUCUGAAUGUAAUCACGAAAUUUAUCCUCGUUGGACCUUUUUUUUCCCAUUUUUGAGGUGGUCGGGCUGGGAAGGUGGCGGAAGCGAGGGAACGAAAGAGAUUCAAAAUUAUAUCAAUAGCCUGCAUAUAUUACAGAUGCAGUACUUGUUACAAGUAGUUUUUGGUACUAUAUAUGGGUAGUUAUACAUACACUUGCCCGAGUACCUUUAAUUUUACAUCUUGCAAGCCUGGCAUAUUAUCAAUAUUAACCAGGAGGUACAAAGUACUGCCUUAAAACGAGCACUUUUAACAUAAGUUCAUACAAGAAGUAGCAUACGAUCAAGAUUCAAGAGUGUCAUCCUUAGGAUAACAGAUUAAUUAUAACGCAUACGAAAAGGUGGCCCCUGAUAAUCCAUCACCGGCAUGUAUUCGACAGACUUUGCAUAUGCCUCGUAUUGAUAGCCGCUCACAACAGUUGCUUCUGUUGCAAAGGUCUUGUUUACUCGCACAGUAUUGGAUUCCUGGGGCCGAUAAACAAGGUAUGAUUCUUGAGGUUGAGUUGCUUCUGUUGCAAAGGCCUUGUUUACUCGAACAGUAGUGGAUUCCUGGGGUUGAUGAACAAGGUAUGAUUCUUGAGGUUGGUAACGCUGGUAGCAAAUUUGAUGAGGAUGAUUUGCAUGGAAAGUGGUGGCUGCGUUGGCAGCUGCAGGAGCCCUUUGUGGUGGUGGAAGGACUUGACGACUCGGCCUGCGUCUCCAGCCGAAAUGUUCAUCAAUUAUAGCAAAGCCCUCCUCGCCAAUCUUAACAAGGUCUGGCUUGGAUGCCAUUGAAUCUCAAAGGCUACACUGAAGAGAAUAGUAUUACUUAGCAAAAAGUAGUUGUGUGUUUGAUUUCUGAUGCAGAGGUAGAGAGGCAGAGGCCUUUAUAUAGAGGCUUUUUUUUUUAGAUAGCAAGGGUCCCAAAGUGGGGGAAAAAGUCGAACCAUAUGAACAUGGCUGCUUCAUGGAAACGAGACAACUUCCCAUGCUAAGUUACAAACAUUUUUAUCACUUCUAACGUUUAUGCCCCCACAUUUUUGUCACUUUUGCUGCAGUGUCUCUCGUUUUUUCAAAUUUUUAAAAUUGUUUCUACAUCUUUUUUUUUUUUUUUUUUUCAUUAACUAACUAUGAUUAAUUAUGAUAACUAAUUAUAACGAGCUAUAUUGAAAAGACCACAGCUCGACAUAUAUAAAAUCCAUAAUCUUGCAUCUAAAAUAAAAUAAAUAAAACUAAAAUUUUUUGUCCCAAAAAACAACUUAAUUUUCAUGAGUUACUUUCUACAAACAAAACUUUUACCAUCAGUUUUACAACUUCGUUACAUUACCCACACAUUGGGGUAUCAUUAGCAAGCGGUUACUUUAAUGUAUACAUGAACUUGUUACAUUUUCUAGCCAUCACCUUGGUUCGAUUUUGGCAGAUUUAAUGAAAUGAUGAUGUUUUAUCCCCAAGAAAAAAAAAAAAAAAACCAUCACCUUGUUUCGAUUUUGGCAGCACAACCUCAUAGUGAGUGGGAAGAAAAAUCUGAGAAAAUUCCAACUUCCCAACAUGGGGCGAUUCCAGGAGACAAAGGCAUAAUAAAGCUAAUGGGAAAGGGGAAGGCACCUGGUGAUUUAAUUCAGGAGGGCUAUAUUAUUUCGUUUGAUCGGCAAGGGAAAGUGGUUUUAUACGGUCGUGGUCUUGGCGGUGGUCCGAGUCUUUCCUCUUUCGGUGGAAUAGAACAUGACAAGUGUGUAAUGGAUUGGAUGCCUUGGACUUCGGUCGAAGACUGGACGACUUCAAUUUUCAGUCCAUUUGUGUUAAUCUUUCAUCUAUGUACACAUUAUAAACUAAUUUUGAAAAAUGAUUAUAGACAAAAUUAGAAUAAUUUGAAACGACUCUUAAGUGGAUUCUUGAUUUUAACUUUUUAAUUAUUCAAAAUUAUUAAAAGAAAGAAAAGAAAGGAAUAAUCAGAUGAAUAGAGCUCCUAGUUAAGCCUGGUUGUUUGCUUGACCGCCACAAUUACUAGAAAGCAGAAUUAUUCUUCUGACUGAAACAAACAAAACAACUUCUAUAACAACUGAUCUUUCAUUGAUAUAACGAAAAUUCGGUCAAGGAAGAGAUAAUUCCUUUUUGCUUUUCUUUGGUUCUUUUCAUCUGACUAGGAUAGACCAAUCCAAAGUUCAUUCAAUCAAACUAUUUAGAAGCACAAUCUUACUUAUAGAAUCACAAAAGAAAAAAGAUUAAAAAAGAAGAAGAAAGUUUGCAAUUUGUUUCUGGCAAAAGCUUCGUUUGGAUUGUGAAAAAAGAUUAAAAAAGAAGAAGAAAGUUUGCAAUUUGUUUCUGGCAAAAGCUUCGUUUGGAUUGUGAUUUUUUGUAGAAAAAUAUUUACAUUUUUCGUGAAUAUAUUUUUUAAUCAUUUUGACUACCUUACAUACAUCAAAUUGCUACAGUAUAUAUUUUUUUACCAAAACUCCUAAAAUUCACUACGGUACAUCAAAUUUUUAACUGGAAAAUGUAACCAUACUCAAAAGUUUACCAAGCUAGUGUUGUACACAACAAAGGCUCUGUUUGAAUUCAGACUUUUUUGAAAAAUAAUUUUUUCAUCUACAAUGGUACAGUAAUAUACAAACAAAAAAUAACUCCAAAAACAUCAUAUCCAUACAAUAUAUCAAAAACAAUUUCAAAUAUACAAAAAAAUACACAACUACCCAUCAUUCUCCACCACCACGGCCACCACUCCACACCCACGACCCUCUCUCCUCUCUCUCUCCGCCCAUCUUUCCUCUCUCUCUCCUCCUCCUCCUCCAUUUUUUCUCCUCCUCUCUCUCCUUCUCCUUCCUCCUUUCUUCUUUCCCUUUUCCCGCCCCCCAAUUUCCUUCCCUUCGACUGACCGCAACCUUUCUAGUCACGAUCAAAUCUGAUCGCGACCAGAAGUCGUGACCAAGACGGUCGUGGUUAGAGUGGUGACUAAAGUCGUAAUCACCACCUGCGAGCGAGAGACGGGUUUGGGGUUGGGGGGAAUGAGGGGAGGGGGGAGAAAGGAGAAGGGAGAGGAAAGAGAGAGGAGGAGGGGAGGAGAGGAAGAGAAAGGAGAGAGGGGGAGGAAAAGGGAAGGGAUAGUGAUGGGUCGUGUAAAAUUUUAAAAAAAGUAUUCCAAAAAAAUUGUAAAUUAUAAAAAUACUUAAAAAUAUAUUUUAAAAAUAUCUCUAAAAACAAUUCAAAAACAUCUAAAGUAAAAGUUUUUUAUAUGCACAGCUAUAGUAAAAUUUUUGAAAAAUACUUCCAAAAACAGCUAAUCCCAACAGAGCCAGUAUUACGGUGAGUUGUUUUAAUCAGAAGAAAGACACCAGAUCUCUCUGCUUCUAUGAGUUGUUUUGAUCAGUUAGAUUUUGAAUCUAUUCUUCUCCCAUGUUAUAUCAUUCUUUAUGUUUAAGCAUUUCGUUUUCAUUGGUUUGGAUAGACAAAAAUCUGAUCAAGUGGUGAAAUUAAAUCAAAUGACGGGGACAGUGCAAAUUAAAUUACGAGAAUAGUGUAUACUCUUGACCACGUACCGUGCUAGAUCCAGCUCGAGCUCGCUUGGCCUUUCUGUAAAACCACUUUCUACAAUCAACCAUUACAUAAAAAGGUUACAACUUCAUAUGAAUUGUGAUUGAUACAAUGGUAUUUAGUUUUAUGUUGUACUUCUUUUUUCAUAAAUUGUGUUUGCUAUAGAGGUUUCUCGCAUUUGCUGCUCUUUUUUUUUUUUUUCUUGAUAUGCAUGCAUUUAGUUAGAAGAAACCACUUCAAGUUUCGGCAUAAAUUGUAAUGUCUAGAAUGAAAAUGUAAUGCCAUCACAGGUUGAAAUAUUCCGUCAUACAGCUAAUACAAAAAAAAAAAAUUUUUUUGGUCCUCUUCCUACAUUAAUGAAAAGCACUUGCAAAUUAGUAGAAAACGAUCGUUGAUGACUGUUACGAUCAUAGUUAUUAAACCCGAUCUGGCCCGGCGGUUCAACUAGUCAACCCAAUGAACCGGCCAUAGAACCAGGCCAAGUUGCUAAUUAGAUCGUUUGGACAGCAGAACCGUUAACUUUUUGACGAACCGGCGGUUCAACCGAUCAACUGGCCGAUUUUCUGAGGAACCCGGUUGCUACGCGGAAUUUUUUUUAGAAAAUAUUGCAUUGAUGGUUCAAACUUGAGACCUUCUUAGAAUGUAGUGCAAUCACCACUAGACUGUAUAAGAAUGUAGUGCAAUCACCACUAGACUAACAAUCCAUUUGUUAGUUGUUUGGUCCUUCUUAUAUUAUAUAUUAGACUUUUAUUCUGAUUUUAUUUCUUCAAAACAAAAUUUAUUUGGAAUCUUUUAAUAAAAUUUUAUUUAUUUCCCAAAUUCCACAAGGCAAAUUUUAAUAAAAUAACAUUAUCUAGUUUAUUUCCAUAAGUUAAAACUAAAAGUUUGUUAAAAAUAAUGAAAUUUCCAUAAAGCAAAUUUAAGUUUUGUUGAUUCUUAUAAAAAUUAAUGAUUCUAUAAUAAAUUAGACUAAUUGAACAUUUACUAAGACAUAGUUUAUUAUAAUUUCAACUAUAUAAAAAAUUAUAAGACAUAAUAUUUAAGUAUAUUUAGUGACCCACCGGUUGGACCACUCACCCACUGAUUGAACCAGUAACCCGUUGACUCACCUCUUUCACCGGAUUCCUCCCCGGGCCGGGUUUAAUAACUAUGGUUACGAUAACGAUAAGCAGAUUAAAUAAGCGAAUUCAUCAAUGCAAAAAAAAAAAAAAAAAAGAGGAAAAGACAAUUUCUUUCAUGCACUGGUCUAGGUAUUACUUCCAACAUUCAGAGUUCCAGCUCAAGAACUUCGGAAGGAUACCAGUAAAAUAUCAGAUGAAAAAAUUGAGCCGCGAACUUGUUUUAUAUAUAUAUAUAUAUAUAUAUAUAUAUAUAUAUAUAUAUGUAUAUAUAUUAAUUCUUUUGCCUGGGAGAGUGCUAUCAGGAGAUGAAAAUGUUAGCCAUAGACCGUUAAAAAGAAAAAGAAACAAAAAAAAGAAGUCAGCGAAAAAGAUGCAAGUAUAUUAUAUAGAGCAUUCUAAUAUUGCUUCCAAGCUCGACUUCUACAUACUUCUUCUACAAGCCUGGAAACUAUAAAAGACUAGCAGCCAUACAAGCUGUAAUUAUGUGCUUGCUUGCUUGCUAGUUGUUAAUUGCUACUACUGCUACAACACAGGAGAAACUUUCUGCAGCACUCUGCACUCUGCAGUGAUGCAUCCACAUAUUACAUAUACAAUAGGCCUGCACAUAUAAUGGAACUUAGUAAGCCAUAGCUUCUGAUUUCCUCUUGGAAUAAUCCAUAAUGAUCAUCCCAUCAUGCAACUUCAUAGCAUCAUAGCGGGUGACCUUCUCUUCACUAGAAACAGGGAUCAUCAUCUGAUAAAUUGGGGGUUUCUGAGGUUGAUAUGGGGGACAAACUGAUAUAUAUGGGUUGGCAGCUGCAGGAGCCCUUUGCGGUGGUGGUAGGACUUGACGACUCGGCCUGCGUCUCCGGCCGAAAUAUUCAUCAAUUAUAGCAAAGCCCUCCUCGCUAAUCUUAACAAGGUCUGGCUGGGAUGCCAUUGAAUCUCAAAGGCUACACUGAAGAGAAUAGUAUUACUUAGCAAAAAGUAGUUGUGUGUUUGAUUUCUGAUGCAGAGGUAGAGAGGCAGAGGCCUUUAUAUAGAGGCUUUUUUUUUUAAAGAUAGCAAGGGUCCCCAAGUGGGGGAAAAAGUCGAACCAUAUGAACAUGGCUGCUUCAUGGAAACGAGACAACUUCCCAUGCUAAGUUACAAACAUUUUUAUCACUUCUAACGUUUAUGCCCCCACAUUUUUAUCACUUUCGCUGCAGUGUCUCUCGUUUUUUCAAAAUUUUAAAAUUGUUUCUACAUCUUUUUUUUUUUUGGCAUUAACUAGCUAUGAUUAAUUAUGAUAACUAAUUAUAACGAGCUAUAUUGAAAAGACCACAGCCGGAUAUAUAUAAAAUCCAUAAUCUUACAUCUAAAAUAAAAUAAAUAAAACUAAAAUUUUUUGUCCAAAAAAACAACUUAAUUUUCAUGAGUUACUUUCUACAAACAAAACUUUUAUCAUCAGUUUUACAGCUGUGUUACAUUACCCCACACAUUGCGGUAUCAUUAGCAAGCGGUUACUUUAAUGUAUACAUGAACUUAUUACAUUUUCUAGCCAUCACCUUGGUUCGAUUUUGGCAGAUUUAAUGAAAUGGUGAUGUGAAAAAUCUGAGAAAAUUCCCACUUCCCAAUAUGUGGCGAUUCCGGGAGACAAAGGCAUAAAGCUAAUGUGAAAGGGGGAGGCACCUGGUGAUUUAAUUCCGGAUUGUUAUAUUAUUCCGUUUGAUCGGCAAGGGAAAGUGAUUUUAUACGGUCGUGGUCUUGGCGGUGGACUUGGUGGUCUGAGUCUUUCCUCUUUCGGUGGAAUAGAACAUGACAAGUGUCUAAUGGAUUGGAUGCCUUUUAGUUCCGUUGAAGACUGGACGACUUCAAAUUUUCAGUCCAUUUGUGUUAAUCUUUCAUCUAUGUACAGAUUAUAAACUAAUUUUGAAAAAUGAUUAUAGACGAAACCAGAAUAAUUUGAAACGACUCGUAAGUGGAUUCUAGAUUUUAACUUUUUAAUUAUUCAGAAUUAUUAAAAGAAAGAAAAGAAAAGAAAUAAUCAGAUGAAUAGAGCUCCUAGUUAAGCCUGGUUGUUUGCUUGGCAGCCACAAUUACUAGUAAGCAGAAUUAUUCUUCUGACUGAAACAAACACAACAACUGAUCUUUUAUUGAUAUAACGAAAAUUCGGUCAAGGAAGAGAUAAUUCCCUUUUGCUUUUCUUUGGUUCUUUUCAUCUGACUAGGAUAGACCAAUCCAAAGUUCAGUCAAUUAACCUAUUUAGAAGCGUAAUCUUACUUACAGAAUCACAAAAGAAAAAAGAUUAAAAAAGGAAGAAAGUCUGCAAUUUGUUUCUGGCAAAAAGCUUUGUUUGGAUUGUGAUUUUUUUGCAGAAAAAUAUUUACAUUUUUCAUGAACAUAUUUUUAAUCAUAUUUUUACCUCACAUAUAUCAAAUCGUUACAAUAUAUUUUUCCACCAAAACUCCUAAAAAUCGCAACAGUACAUCAAAUUUGUAACUGGAAAAUGCAACCAUACUCAAAAGUUUACCAAGCUAGUGUUGUAUGCAACAAAAGUAUUACGGUGAGUUGUUUUGAUCAGAAGAAAGACACCAGAUCUCUCUGCUUCUAUGAGUUGUUUUGAUCAGUUAGGUUUUGAAUCUAUUCUUCUCCCAUGUUAUAUGAUUCUUUAUGUUUAAGCAUUUCGUUUUCAUUGGUUUGGAUAGACAAAAAUCUGAUCAAGUGGUGAAAUUAAAUCAAAUGACGAGGAAAGUGCAAGCUAAAUUACGAGAAUAGUGUAUACUCUUGACCACGUACCGUGCUAGAUCCAGCUCGAGCUCGCUUGGCCUUUCUGUAAAACCACUUUCUACAAUCAAAAGGUUACAACUUCAUAUGAAUUGUGAUUGAUACAAUGGUUUUAUGUUGUACUUCUUUUUUCAUAAAUUGUGUUUGCUAUAGAGGUUUCACGCAUUUUGCUGCUCUUUUUUUUUUUUCUUGAUACGCGUGCAUUUAGUUAGAAGAAACCACUUCAAGUUUCGGCAUAAAUUGUAAUGUCUAGAAUGAAAAUGUAAUGCAUCACAGGUUGAAAUAUUCUGUCAUGCAGCAAAUACAAAAAAAAACCCCUUCCUACAAUAAUGAAAAACACUUGCAAAUUAGUAGAAAACGAUCAUUGAUGACUGUUACGAUAACUAUUAGCAGAUUAAAUAAGCGAAUUCAUCAAUGAAAAAAAAAAAAAAAAAAGAGGAAAAGACAAUUUCUUUCAUGCACUGGUCUAGGUAUUACUUCCAACUUUCAGAGUUCCAGCUCGAGAAGUUCGGAAGAAUACCAGUAAAAUAUCAGAUGAAGAAAUUGAGCCGCGGACUUGUUAUGCUUUCGAUAUAUAUAUCUUUUGCCUGCCAUAGACGGUAAAAAAGAAAAAGAAAAAAAAAGAAAUCAGCGAUAAAGAUGCAAGUAUAUUAAAUAGAGCAUUCUAAUAUUGCUUCAAAGCUCGACUUCUACAUAUUUCUUCUGCAAGCCUGGAAACUAUAAAAGACUAGCAGCCAUACAAGCUGUAAUUAUGUGCUUGCUUGCUAGUUGUUAAUUGCUACUACUGCUACAACACAGGAGAAACUUUCUGCAGUACUCUGCACUCUGCAGUGAUGUAUCCACAUAUUACAUAUACAAUAGGCCUGCACACAUAAUGGAACUUAGUAAGCCAUAGCUUCUGAUUUCCUCUUGGAAUAAUCCAUAAUGAUCAUCCCAUCAUGCAACUUCGUAGCAUCAUAGCGGGUGACCUUCUCUUCACUAGAAACAGGGUUCAUCAUCUGAUAAAUUAGGGGUUUCUGAGGUUGAUAUGGGGGACAAACUGAUAUAUAUGGACGAGCCGCGGCAGGACCAGCAGGAGCCUUCUGCCUCGGUGCAGCAGCUGCCCUUUUUUUUCCUCCAUAUUCUUCCUCUUCCAGCAUCUGAAAGCCUUCGUAGCCUAUCUUAAGAAGCUUUGAUCGGUUGUCCAUCUUGUAGUUACUGGCCAUUUCUAAGCAAGAAGUGAGGAAAAGUGGGGAGGCUAGCUUCUGAUGAAACUGGGUUUGAGGUCUUCUUUUGUUGUGUAUGGAAAGGUUAGUUUGAGUUGGUGGUUUGGUGUAAAAGGCCGUGAGCAAUGAGCCCUUUAUAUAGGGAGGAUUUUUACUAAGAUAUAGCUAGGAUAAGGCUGGAAUGGAAAUCAGAUAUUUGCAUAGGAAAAAAAAAUAAAAGAAAAGAAGAAUCUUCAUGGGGUCUUAGUUUUCCCAACUUGUGUUGAUUCCCUUUCAGAUGUGCAUGGGACCAGUUUACAGGGAAAGGUAGGGGUUUUGGAGAUUCUUGAACGAUGAAGUUGAGUUUCCUUCCUUGUUAAGAGGGAAUAAAAAUACUAUGCUACUGCGUGUUCUUAUUAGUUAUGUAUUAUAACUGAAUUAGUGCAGCAUCCAAAUUAUCGAGGGAACACUGAGAACGUGGGUUGUUG